CCAUGACUGGUUACUGCAACACCGUCAGGAAGCUGGAAAAGAAGUUUGAGGGGUUGGAGCUUCACCAUGUGCCCCGAUUGAAAAAUCAAGCUGCAGAUGAGUUGGCGAAGAUAGGUUCCAAGAGAGAGGCCAUCCCCCGCAAUGUGUUUCUGGAACAUAUUCAUUCACCUUCGGUUCAGGAGGAUCCCUUCACAGAAGAGUCGCCACAGCCCAAGAGUGCUACAGAUCCGACUGAAGUUGACAUCCCAGCCGUGGUCGACUUAGUCAUGGAGGUUCUGGUCAUCACUCCCGACUGGACAGUGGCGUACAUCGCAUACAUUCUUAGGAAAGAACUUUCGGAAGAAGAAGAAGAGGCUCGACAGGUCGUCCGGCGAUCCAAGGCCUUUACUGUGAUAAACGGGCAGUUGUUCAGAGAAAGUGCCACUGGAGUUUGCCAGAAGUGUAUCACGUCAGAGGAAGGUCGAGUGAUCCUCAAUGAUAUUCACUCGGGAACCUGCGGUCACCACGCGUCCUCUCGGACCAUCGUGGACAAAGCAUACCGAGCUGGAUUUUACUAGCCGCAGGCCAACGAGAUGGCUAAGGAAAUAGUGGACAAGUGUGAAGGCUGCCAGUUUUACUCCAACAUGUCUCAUAAACCUGCGUCGGCUCUAAAAACAAUUCCACUCGUAUGGCCCUUCGCCAUCUGGGGACAGGACAUGGUUGGACCUUUGAGGACAUGCAGGAGUGGAUUUACUUGUGUGCUAGUAGCAGUCGACAAGUUCACCAAGUGGAUCGAAGCCAAGCCCAUCAAAAGCCUUGAAGCAAGCACAACUGUGAGUUUCAUCAGGGGACUUAUAUUCAGAUAUGGCGUUCCACACAGCAUCAUCAUGGAUAACGGCUCGAACUUCGAUUCUGAAGAAUUCAAAGCCUUUUGCGCCUCCCAAGGCAUGAGAGUCGACUACGCUUCAGUCGCUCAUCCUCAGUCAAAUGGACAGGCCGAGUGGGCGAAUGGAUUGAUUCUCAAAGGAUUGAAGCCUUGGUUGAUGCGUGACCUGGAACUUGCAGCGGGAGCCUGGGUCGACGAGCUCCCAUCCGUGCUGUGGGGGUUGAGGACAACCCCUAACCGGUCGACUGGAAGGACUCCAUUCUUCUUAGUCUAUGGAGCUGAAGCCGUGCUCCCCAGUGAUUUGCUCCACAAUGCGCCUCGAGUCGAACUCUUCUCAGAAGAAGAAGCAGAACAAGCUCGGCAAGAUGCAGUCGACCUCUUAGAAGAAGAAAGAGAGAUGGCCUUGAUCCGGUCGACCAUCUAUCGGCAAGACUUGCGUAGAUUUCACGCAAGAAACGUGAGGGGUCGAGCAUUUCAAGAAGGAGACCUGGUUCUUCGAGUGGUCAAGCUUGCUCCCGCUUGGGAAGGCCCUUUCGUUAUCACCAAGGUGCUCCACAACGGAGCAAACCAUCUCUUCAACGUCGAACAUAAUAAAGAUGAGCCACGCGCCUGGAAUGCGGAUCUGCUCCGCCCUUUCUAUUCUUAAAUAUUUAGAAUGAUGAGAUGUAAUAAGAAAUCCCUUUUAGUUUGACUAUCAAAGACACAAUUUACUUCUUCUGAAUGAUUGUUAUUUAUUUCUUUUGUGCGAGUUACCUUAGCUGCGAAUCUUUUUCGCUUAAGACGAAGUGAUAAAAAUCCUACCGAGUGAUGAGUCUGCCUCUCACUCGAGGGGCUUAGCUACAGCCCAGUGCUCGCCUAAGUGAUAAAAAUCCUACCGAGUGAUGAGUCUGCCUCUCACUCGGGGGCUUAGCUGCAGCCCAGUGCUCGCCUAAGUGAUAAAAAUCCUACCGAGUGAUGAGUCUGCCUCUCACUCGGGGGCUUAGCUGCAGCCCAGUGCUCGCCUAAGUGAUAAAAAUCCUACCGAGUGACGAGUCUGCCUCUCACUCGGGGGCUUAGCUACAGCCCAGUGCUCGCCUAAGGGAUAAAAAUCCUACCGAGUGGAGAGCAAACCUCCCACUCGGGGGGCUUAGCUGCAGUCCCGUACUCGCCUAAGUUUGAGAAAUCCUACCGAGUGGAGAGCAAACCUCCCACUCGGGGGCUUAGCUGCAGUCCCGUACUCGCCUAAGUUUGAAAAAUCCUACCGAGUGGAGAGCAAACCUCCCACUCAGGGGCUUAGCUGCAGUCUCGCACUCGCCUAAGUUUGAAAAAUCCUACCGGGUGGUGAGCAAUCCUCCCACUCGGAGGCUUAGGUGCAGCCCAGUGCUCGCCUAAGUUUGAAAAACCUUACCGGGUGGUUGACAGGAAUGUCAAGACCAUUACUGAGUGCCUUGCUGAUGAGCUGAUCAAUGCUCCUCAAGGAUCACCCAAUCGAUUGACCAGAACGUCAAGACCAUUGCUGAAUGCCUUGCUGACGAGCUGAUCAAUGCUCCUCAAGGAUCACCCAAUCGGUUGAUAGGAACGUCAAGACCAUUGCUGAAUGCCUUGCUGAUGAGCUGAUCAAUGCUACUCAAGGAUCACCUGAUCGGCCGACUAGAAUGUCGAGACCAUUGCUGAGUGCCUUGCUGAUGAUAUGAUCAAUGCUACUCAAGGAUCAUCCGAUCAGUCGACUGGAACGCCAAGAUCAUUGCUGAACGCCUCGUUGAUGAGCUGAUCAAGGUUGCUCAAGGACCGCCCGAUCAGUCGACUGACCAUCCUUCUCCAGAAGCUGCAUCAAGCAAACAGACAACAAUUCAAGGGAAAAACAAUUUUUGUUCGAAGAUAGACGCAAUUUAUGAGGUGACAAAUCCAAAGUUUCUUAACCGCAGAAUAAAGUGCUCGGGCAUCAGGCCCGAAGGAGUUUUAACGGUUACAAAUUCAGUCGGCAUUCCGAGGCAAACAAAAGUGAUAGCAUAAUGUUUUUUUGUCACUCGACGGGAGAAGGACUGGCCAGGUCGCAGAAGCUGUCGAGGUGGAUGCUGUCGGCGAUGCGAGUGGCUGCCUCGAGGAAAGUGUCCAUGAAGUCCUGGAAGGAGUGCUUCUUAGUGUUUGCCACUUUGAGAGAUGCCAACUUGUCUUCCUUAGCUUCCUUGCAGUGCACUCGGACCAGAGACAAAGCGACAUCAGCACCACAGCGGGCAGAAGAUUUCUCCCACUCUUGCACUCGACUUGGAAUCUGGUUUAGCCGAGCCAUCAAGGACUCGAGGUCUUGAGACAUUUCCUCCCAAGGCCAGAUCUCAGCGUCCACUCGGGCCAUCGCCGCCUUCAGCCGAGCCUGUUAGUUGACUGCACCGUCCAAGUGCGAUUCCAGUCGAAGCAAGUUCAUCGCAACUUCAUCUUUCAUGGGACAGUUGAUGGGGUCGAGACCUGUCUCGACCCGCCCAGUUUCAGCCUCAAAGUCCUGACACAGUUCUGUCCCAUUGCAAAAAGUGAUGAAUCGACGACGAGAUAACAAAGUUCAAUCGGCAACAAAGUGAUGAGUCGACUGAUCAUACCUUCAAGCUUCAGAACAAGUUUGGCGGUGAGUUGCUCCAGAUAGGACUCUAGCUUGUCGGUCUUGGUCUUAAGGCCGCCAACUUCAGUGGACAGGUUUUCGUUGUCUUUCUUCAGUUGCUCAACUUCCUGGUUGGCGUCUGAGAUGGCAGCCUUCAGCUUCGUGUUCUCCUCCUCUAGUUGCUGACCGAAGCCAGCUUCUGGUCCACAAGCUUCGUCUUCUCGCAUGCUUCCUUCUGAGUGGCGGCCAGAUCCAGAUCCUUCUGCUCCAAAGCCUCCUUCAUCCUCUCUAAAGAAACAACACUAUUCAGACGAGACUGAAGUUGACGAUUUUCACUAAGCACAUCUGCUCGUGUGAAAUCACUCGGUUCAAAGAGACUGAAGGAAAAACUAGCAUGAAGUAUGAAGCUACAAAACAGACAGGAUGGUCGAGUGAUUUCUUUUGACUAAUGUUGAGUCCAUGGAUUAUACGCACUCUCACCUUUCCACCUUUGCUAGCCUCUUCGGUACCGUGCAUUGCCCUUUCUCACCUUGAGAGUUGGUGCAAACUUCGCCGUGCAUCCAAACCCCGUGAUACGAUACGCUCUAUCAUACAUAAACCUCCUUAUAUCUUCCUCAAAACAGCCACCAUACCUACCUAUCAUGGCAUUUCCAUAGCCAUUCUGAGAUAUAUUACCAUGCAACUUGCAUCAUCAUCAUCAUGACAUACAUUACUUUUGUCAUAUUGCCAUUGCAUGAUCAUGUAGUUGACAUCGUAUUUGUGGCAAAGCCACCAUGCAUUAUUUUUCAUACAUGUCACUCUUGAUUCAUUGCACCAUCCCGGUACACCGCCGGAGGCAUUCAUAUAGAGUCAUAUCUUGUUCUAAGUUUCAAGUUGUAAUCCUUAUGUUGUAAUCAAUAGAAGUGUGAUGAUCAUCAUUAUUAGAGCAUUGCCCAAAAAAAAGAGAAAGGCCAAAAAAAAGAAAAAAAAGAAAGGCCCCCAAAAAAUAAAAAUAAAAUAAAAAGGGCAAUGCUACUAUCUCUUUUUCCACACUUGUGCUUCAAAGUAGCACCUUGUUCUUCAUGUAGUGAGUCUCAUAUACUGUGCUUCAAAGUAGCACCAUGUUUUUCAUAUAGUGAGUCUCAUAAGUUGUCUUUUUAUACUAGUGGGAAUUUUUCAUUAUAGAACUUGGCUUGUAUAUUCCUACGAUGGGCUUCCUCAAAUGCCCUAGGUCUUCAUGAGCAAGCAAGUUGGAUGCACACCCACUAGUUUUCUUUUGUUGAGCAUUCAUAGCUCUAGUGCAUCCGUUGCAUGGCAAUCCCUACUCCUCAUGUUGACAUCAAUUGAUGGGCAUCUCCAUAGCCCGUUGAUUAUCCUUGUCAAUGUGAGACUUUCUCCUUUUUUGUCUUCUCCACACAAUCCCCAUCAUCAUAUUCUAUUCCACCCAUAGUGCUAUAUCCAUGGCUCACGCUCAUGUAUUGCGUGAAGGUUGAAAAAGUUUGAGAUUAUUUAAGUAUGAAACAACUGCUUGGCUUGUCAUCGGGGGUAUAGAAGUUGGGAACAUCUUUGUGUGACAAAAAUGAAGCAUAGCCUAACUAUAUGAUUUUGUAGGGAUGAACUUUCUUUUGCCAUUAUUUUGAGAAGACAUGAUUGCUUUGACUAGUAUGCUUGAAGUAUUAUUAUUUUUAUGUCAAUAUGAACUUUUGUCUUGAAUCUUUCGGAUCUGAAUAUUCAUGCCACAUUUAAGAAGAUUCACAUUGAAAUUAUGCCAAAGUAUCACUCCGCUUCAAAAAUUCUUUUUUAUCAUUUACCUACUCGAGGACGAGCAGGAAUUAAGCUUGGGAAUGCUUGAUACGUCUCCAACAUAUCUAUAAUUUUUGAUUGCUCGAUGAUACUUUAUCUACUGUUUUAGGCAACAUUGGGCUUUAUUAUCCACUUUUAUAUUAUUUUUGGGACUAACCUAUUAACCGGAGGCCCAGCCCAGAUUUGCUGUUUUAUGCCUAUUUCAGUGUUUCGAGGAAAAGGAAUAUCAGACGGAGUCAAAACGGAACGAAAUCAACUAGAGAAGUUAUUUUUGGAAGGAACCCACCUGACGGACUUGGACCCCAUGUCAGAAGAUACGGGAGGUGCUCACGAGGGUGGGGGGCGCCCCCCCCCCCCCGGGCGCGCCCCCUGCCUCGUGGGGCCCCCGAGCUCCACCGACGUACUCCUUUCACCCAUAUAUACCUAUGUACCAUAAAACUUCCAGAACAGAAGAUAGAUUGGGAGUUCCGCCGCUGCAAGCCUCUGUAGCCACCAAAAACCUCUCGGGAGCCCGUUCUGGCACCCUGCCGGAGGGGGAUCCCAUCACCGGUGGCCAUCUUCAUCAUCCCGGCGCUAUCCAUGACGAGGAGGGAGUAGUUCACCCUCGGGGCUGAGGGUAUGUACCAGUAGCUAUGUGUUUGAUCUCUCUCUCUCUCUCUCGUGUUCCAUCUAUGGCACGAUCUUGAUGUAUCCCGAGCUUUGCUAUUGUAGUUGGAUCUUAUGAUGUUUCUCCCCCUCUACUCCCUUGUGAUGAAUUGAGUUUCCCUUUUGAAGUUAUCUUAUCGGAUCGAGUCUUUUAUGAUAACACUUGACGUAUGUCUUGCCGUGAUUAUCUGUGGUGACAAUGGGAUAUCAUGUGCCACUUGAUGUAUGUUUUGGUGAUCAACUUGUGGGUUUCGUGACAUUGGGAACCUAUGCAUAGGGGUUGGCACACGUUCUUAACUCUCCGAUAGAAACUUUGGGGCACUCCUUGAAGUACUUUGUGUUGGUUGGAUGAAUCUGAGAUUGUGUGAUGCAUACCGUAUAAUCAUGCCCAUGGAUACUUGAGGUGACAAUGGAGUAUCUAGGUGACAUUAGGGUUUUGGUUGAUUUGUGUCUUAAGGUGUUAUUCUAGUACGAACUCUUUUAUAGAUUGAUCCGAAAGAAUAACUUUGAGGUGGUUUCGUACCCUACCAUAAUCUCUACGUUUGUUCUCCGCUAUUAGUGGCUUUGGAGUGACUCUUUGUUGCAUGUUGAGGGCUUGUUAUAUGAUCUAUCUAUGUUAUUAUUGUUGAGAGAACUUGCACUAAUGAAAGUAUGAACCCUAGGCCUUGUUUCCUAUCAUUGCAAUACCGUUUACGCUCACUUUUAUCAUUAGUUACCUUGCUGUUUUUAUUAUUUCAGAUUACAAAAACCUUUAUCUACUAUCUAUUUUGCACUUGUAUCACCAUCUCUUCGCCGAACUAGUGCACCUAUACAAUUUACCAUUGUAUUGGGUGUGCUGGGGACACAAGAGACUCUUUGUUAUUUGGUUGCAGAGUUGCUUGAGAGAGACCAUCUUCAUCCUAUGCCUCCUACGGAUUGAUAAACCUUAGGUCAUCCACUUGAGGGAAAUUUGCUACUGUCCUACAAACCUGUGCACUUGUAGGCCCAACGACGUCUACAAGAAGAAGGUUGUGUAGUAGACAUUAACACUGAUGACUUCCCGUUUAAAAUAGGACUGCACCAGGGAUAAGCUUUGGGCCCUUAUCUUUUCGCUCUGGCGAUGGAUGAUGUCACAUGGGUAUACAAGGAGAUAUCCCAUGGUGUAUGAUGUGGUUCUAGUCGAUGAUAGUCGGACAGGGGUCAAUAGAAAGUUAGAGCUAUGGAGACAAACCUUGGAAUCUAGAGGUUUUAGACUUAGUAGAAGUUAAAUCGAGUACAUGAGGUGCGGUUUCAGAACUACUAGGCACGAGGAGGAGGAGNNNNNNNNNNNNNNNNNNNNNNNNNNNNNNNNNNNNNNNNNNNNNNNNNNNNNNNNNNNNNNNNNNNNNNNNNNNNNNNNNNNNNNNNNNNNNNNNNNNNNNNNNNNNNNNNNNNNNNNNNNNNNNNNNNNNNNNNNNNNNNNNNNNNNNNNNNNNNNNNNNNNNNNNNNNNNNNNNNNNNNNNNNNNNNNNNNNNNNNNNNNNNNNNNNNNNNNNNNNNNNNNNNNNNNNNNNNNNNNNNNNNNNNNNNNNNNNNNNNNNNNNNNNNNNNNNNNNNNNNNNNNNNNNNNNNNNNNNNNNNNNNNNNNNNNNNNNNNNNNNNNNNNNNNNNNNNNNNNNNNNNNNNNNNNNNNNNNNNNNNNNNNNNGAUGUUAGCCUUGAUGCGCAGGUGGUGCCUUAGAAGGCCACCUUUAGAUAUUUGGGGUCUAUGCUGCAGAAGGAUGGGGAUAUUGAUGUGUAUUUUAUCCGCAUGAUGAGACAAUAAAACAUUUGUUCUUCCAAUGUAAAUUGGCUCGUUCUACAUGGUCAGUCAUCCAAAUAGCUUCUGGCUUGUACCCUCCUUGUAGUGUUGCUAAUAUAUUUGGCAACUGGUUACAUGGGAUUGAUCACAGGUUCAGAAUUCUACUUAGGGUGGGAGGGCUUGCUGUGAUUUGGUCGCUUUGGCUAUGUAGAAAUGAUAAGAAUUUUAACGAUAAAAGUACUUCGCUUAUGCAGGUUAUCUACAGAUGUACUGGGACGCUUCGUUUAUGGUCUUCUCUACAACGAGUGGAGAAUCGAGACCUGUUUACGGUGGUGUGUACAUGAUUGGAGGCUUUGGCGAGGGAUACUUUUACCCAACAUGGGUGGCAGCAUGAUCUUAGGAUUGGGCCACCGACGGUUUAGGCGCUAUACAAAUAUACAUUUUUCCUUGUAUUUCGCCUUCCUAUUUUAUUUUUGCUUGUCGUGAGGACUUUGUUGGCUAUGUGCAUCUUAGUUAUGCAGAGGCCGGGUGUAAUACUUAAACCUUUUAAGUAAUAAAGCGCCCCUUUUCGAAAAAAUCACCAGAGAACUAAUCAUGGGCAGGGGUGCAUGAAAACAUGAUAUCCAUGUGUGAGAACCAUGAGCUGGUUGCGAGAUCUUAUUGGUUUCGCAUGUAGCCUACCCUAACUUGUUUAGGACUAAAGGCUUUGUUGUUGUUGUUGCGUUGUGCUUUCACUUCAGUGUAACUUUGUAAAUUUCACAGUCCCUAGGAUUGAAUUACUCCACUAAGGACUCAUAAAAAUGGGGCAAACUGACUACCUAGUAGUAAUCUCAAGCGACUGGACGACGAUGGAAGCAGCAAAGCACUUGACGGCGGUCCUACACGAAGGAGAUUUCUCCAUUUUCUCGUGGAAACCAUAUCAUAGAUCAAUAAUGUUACACAAACAAAAUAAUAGGUUUGCAACAGAACACCCACCCAUACCAGACCAGCAUCAUUUUCGUCGUAAGAUUCCUUACAAGCACAUAGACAUCAGCUUCUCAUCAGCACGGUACUCAUGAAAAAUAGCAGCAAUGAAAUAAACGCAACAACAUAGUUGCCCAUGUCUCGGAUACACAUACAGAAUAUUACUAGAUCUGGAUUAACCAAGACUAAAUUAUUGGACAAAAACUUAGAUUAAAACAAAGGUAGGCAUGCCCAAAGGGAAAGGCAAUUUUUGUGGAGCUGGCUAGAACUUGGAAUACGUCAUGGUCCCGAACCUGGCAUAGAACAAACGCUCGAACUCCUUGAGAACUGCAGCCUCUAUACACAUGAUGACGCGCACGCUGCCAUCCCCCUGCGUGCUCUCCAGCAGGUGCGCAAAGCCUCCACGGUUCGAUUCAGCACACAACGUAGCCAACGGCUUUCCCCAACCAAAACCAAAUCAAUAGAACGGCAUGCCAAGCCAACUUAUCAUUCGCAUAUCUGUCGCCGGCAGACUACCUAAAGCAGUGCGGUUGUCUCUCUUCGUUAAUGCUAACUCGAUGUAGUCGACUGCCCAAUGCACUAGCUCAUCAUUCACCCGACUGAUGGUGUAUCUGAUUUGGCGUGCGAUGUAGACCAGCUCGGCAACACUUAGAUUUAUUAACGCGUUGCCAAAGUAGCCAUCCAGGAGUGGCGGCACCAUGCUUCGCCGGACGUUGGCCACAAAAGCCAAGCGUGUUGUGGAGUUCGGCGGUAGCCGCCGGGCUAAACACAUGCAUUGCCACACAUGGGCACUGACGGCACUGAAGGUGCUCAUGCUUCCGCCAGCACAAAUGUGCUUAAGAGUGGAAACUUGGUCCUUCUGAAGAGUGAACACCUCGUAAACAAUAGGCCCCAGUGUUUGGGAUAGGAUUAUCUGGGGAAAAAAGUUGCGAGUGCGUUGGGGUGAACAAUGGGUGGGUCGCGUGCACAUAAGCUGGUGCGGUCAUGGUAAGGGAUGUUCACCACAGCCCGGUCACCGUCCCUAGAGAAAGCUGACCAUGUCCGGAAGAAGUGGAAUGCGGCAGUUCCAUCCAUAGCGCCAUGGUGCGUUACCGUCCUUAAGACCACCCCGCCACACUUCAAGAAUGUCACCUACAUAUAUUGAUUACUGGCACACAUUACAUGGAGUACAAGUUUGUACUAUUGUAGUGUGCUACUAUAUUUUUUUAGCAGCUCCGACCUUUCAUUAUCAAGAAAGAGAAGGGACUAGUUCACAUACAAAACUGGCAGAAACCAAAUGUAGUGUACCAGCAUAGUGUUGAUGUGGGAUGUGGCUAGAAAGCAAGACAAAAUGAAAGAAAGAACAACUAACUCAGAAAGAAUCACACAGACCUGAAUGGCGCACAAGAUGCCUGCUGAGUCGUCAACGAGGGGAACAAACAACCUCCUUAGCCUUCGUGAUGGCUUGAAGUCGCUGAAGUCAUCAACAGUUAGACGAGAGCGAGCCACAAGGAAAGGUAAACCCUCGCCGUUGCAGUCGAUCUCCAAUUUGCCCUUGGCGUCCGGCUUGAGACGGCCGGCCAGGGGUAGCCACGAGGGCCUUGCCUAAUGCCGUCUUCAACCUGGCCACAUCAAAGAAGUCGUCCUCGGUGGUUCCGAUGGAGCCACAUCGACGGUAGAAAUGGACAAGUGGGGUGUGGCCUUUGUUGGCUAGCAUGAGGUCGAGCGGCGACAGCCGCAUCGCUCUUCCCGGCGUGGCAGCGGCCGGCAUUACAAGGCAAGACUCUACCACCUGCACCUCCUCCUCACGGACCAUUCUAGCUAGCUCCUUGUGCUCUCCUCUCCUGGCCGUUCCUCAGCAGCAAGUAUAUAAAGAGUAAGGAUCACAUUUAUAAUCUAUAAUAUCUAAAUAGUUCAUCCCCACUAAACUAUUUCUCAUGACAUGCAGCCUAUCCACCUCAACAGCAUUGCCACAUCAGCGUUUCCUUACAGGCUUACAUGGGACCCACCACCGGUUGACUAGCGUACAGAACAAUAGCCACGAUAGAGCAUUCUCACACGUUUUUCCGGUACGUCCGCACGUUUCCUGGUGCACAUGCACGGUUGAGGCAGAUAAAACCGGUGAUUGCUGCGUUUUGCACGCUAGCUUUGGAUCUCAAUGGUUGGCUCACAUUUAUUAUCUUCCUAAUUAACUUCCACUCUGAUUGAUUUCCCGUAAAUCUCUCCAUCUUCUAAACAGGUGCAUUUUGUUCUUCUCCAGCGACUAGACUAGAGGAGUACUAAUACAGUCUAGUAGAAUGCCCGUGCGUUGCCAUGGGCUAUAAGACAUAUAAAUGAAUUAAACAAAUAAUUAAGGUCGUCUUUGUUGUCAAAACUCAUUUCUCCCUUGGACACCGGGCGUGUUCGGACUUCAAAUGGGCGCCCAAGGCUCCCCGAGUUUGAGCUCCGACAAAUCCAGGCUUAUCUGGGGAGAAUUUUGAUUAUCCGGACUAUUCAACAUGUUAUCUCCAACAUACGGGCCCAACACAAUAACCGUCAGCCGGACAUUUCUCUCUAGUGCUCUCUCCUUUAAAACCGGAUGGCGUCCACCUAACCUUCGCCAUGACACCCUCUCUCUUUCACACUAUACUUCCCACAGACCGCCAAGGAGUCUCCCACCAACCACCCCGCCCCCGUGCAUCAAGGGAGAGGAGGCGUGCGCCGCCCAUGACAACCCCCGAGCCAAGAAUGCAGAUCUAAUGUCUCCCGAGCCAUUGCCAUGUUGUAACAUAGCUGAAGAUCGUGCAUUACCAUGGAACAAAAAUAUGAUGUCCAUUGUUGGACAUGCAACUCAUACACCACCAUACCUGUUAUUAAGCGUUGAAGCAAACAACCAAUGCAUUUAUCCUUCUACCCUAAUCAAAAUUUUGCACGACUACCUUUUUAUCCUAACCAAAAAAUUGUAGGAUCUAAAAAAUUCUUGCUUCGCAUAUACAACGGUGCGGAUUAACCCCAGAAAAGGCAAGUGAGGCUAUCUUUUGAAGGCAUCAAAAUAAGUGCAACAUACUUUUCCUCAACCACGCAUAUACAUAUUCCUUCAUAUAUUGAUGAACUAACAUGCACCACAUACCUCCUAUCCAAAUUUUACUGCUCAUCAUAUAUAUCUCUACUAUCUAAAAUCACUCUAGUAAUCUGAAAUUAGCUAUCGAUAACCGAUUGGUUUGCAUCUGAAUUAGAAACACAAAAUUGUCUUUGUCUUCAAAAAUAUGUAUUCUACAUGUUGGAACAUGGAGCAAGACGAUUUCAGAAUACGAACGACCAUAGGUAAGCAUCUAGAGUUAAGAGGUAGAAAUACAUCAGGUUACUCUCCCAUAGUGGUGGAGUGGCAUGACUGGAGAGCGGCAACUGCACGCGGUCGCCUUGGCCAUGAGUCGCGGUCUCCUAGGCCAUGAGUCUAGGGUCUCCCCUGAAAGAACAUUAAAAGGCAGCAGCUAGGCAAUCGGUCAGAUAUGUCAUGAACGCACACAAUUUUUCCAUAACCAUUUUUUGCAUUAUCUAUGCUCGGAUCAAGCACAAAUAUCAAAACAGAGAAGUGCAGAAAAAUUGGAUCCGAAGCGAAAGAGAUAAGGUUUAUGAGCAGAUACAGAGGUUAAGGACUCACGUUACAAUAACACCACUAUUUGCAACACCCUCCUUAUUUUAGCAAAAAAAUAAUAGUAAGUUGUUUGGGUACAACGCACCUUAAGGUCUAUAAUUUAUAAAUCAUCGCAUAAAAUGUUGUGGUGUGCACCUUAAGAUCCCUUAUACACUUUGAAAUGAAACUAUGAAAGAAUGAAAUUUGAUUUAGUACAUAUAAAGUUGAGAUGUGUAUGUUCCAUGUUGGAAAUUUAUUUCUUCUAAGGAAAGGAUUCAACAUGAGGCAUAAAUCAUGUUGGAAACACAUUUGUAGCUGGCCCUACUAAGUACGAAAGGAUUAACAUCAUACAUUUUAUAUACAGUGUAAUUUGAUGUGUUAUGCUAUUGCAUAUUGUAAGUGCAUCUAGUGCCACCCCUAGUUGGUUUUGGAGUAUCGACGACAAACUUGGUUGAGGAACUAAUGUGUUUGUGAGAUUUGCAGGAUAACAGAGGUAGUAGUCCCACGUUGAUUCGGUUUACCUACCAGAGAUGACCCCUAAAAAUGUGUGAAGACAUUGAAGACAAUGGUGGUAUAUGAAGACAUUCACAUUGAAGACUAUGACAGGAGAAGACAUCGCGUGAAGACUAUGGAGCGCGAAGACAUAGUUGUUUCAUAGUUUCCUUUUCUUCUUUCUUGAGUCAGAGUGAUUGAUGCGAUGCUCAACCAAAUCCUAUGUCUUCGAGCGAAGAUAAUGAGAGCAAACCUUAUCCAGAGCUGGAUGAGUCAGCUUUACUUGUAGCCCAAGUCAAGCUGCCGCGUGUGUUUGAAAUCUGACCGUUGGAACACGUGUCAGUUCCUUAGUGACCCACGGUCAUUUUGGACAAAUCGGGUUGGGUUGCCUCCUGGCUAUAAAUAGCCCACCCCGUACAUCAUAAAUUGGUGGCUGCUCAGAGUUAGUGCACGGCUUUUGUCGUUUGAGAGCAACCCACCUCCGAACCCUUUGAUAGAGAAUCCUUGCAAGGACAAAGCUCAAAACACCCAGAGCCAAAGAGUGUUAGGCAUCACAGAAGUCUUUCUGUCCACGUGAUCUGAAGACUUAUAACACUUGAGGAAUGUGAAUCCUCCAGCCGGUUAGGCAUCGCGUUCUGAGCAUCCAAGAGUCAUUGUGGAUUGUCGGUGAACGAAGUCUAUGAAGGUUUGGAAGUCUCCCUUGAAGACUUACCAGAGUGAUUUGGCGAGGACUAAGUGUUCUUAGCUCAAGGGGAAUGAUAACCCACAAGUGUAGGGGAUCGCAACAGCUUUCGAGGGUAAAGUAUUCAACCCAAAUUUAUUGAUUCGACACAAGGGGAGCCAAAGAAUAUUCUUGAGCAUUAGCAGUUGAGUUGUCAAUUCAAUCACACCUAGAUAACUUAGUAUCUGUAGCAAAGUAUUUAGUAGCAAAGUAAUAUGAUAAUAAAGGUAACGAUAGCAAAAGUAAUAUUUCUGGGUUUUGUAGUGAUUGUAACAAUAGCAACGGAAAAGUAAAUAAGCGAAGAACAAUAUGUGAAAAGCUCAUAGACAAUGGAUCAGUGAUGGAUAAUUAUGCCGGAUGCGAUUCCUCAUGUAAUACCUAUAACAUAGGGUGACACAGAACUAGCUCCAAUUCAUCAAUGUAAUGUAGGCAUGUAUUCCGAAUUUAGUCAUACGUGCUUAUGGAAAAGAACUUGCAUGACAUCUUUUGUCCUACCCUCCCGUGGCAGUAGGGUCCUAGUGGAAACUAAGGGAUAUUAAGGCCUCCUUCUAAUAGAGAACCGGAACAAAGCAUUAGCACAUAGUGAAUACAUGAACUCCUCAAACUAUUGUCAUCAGCGAGAAGUAUCCAGAUUAUUGUCACUUCGGGGUUGUCGGGUCAUAACACAUAAUAGGUGACUAUAGACUUGCAAGAUAGGAUCAAGAACACACAUAUAUUCAUGAAAACAUAAUAGGUUCAGAUCUGGAAUCAUGGCACUCGGGCCCUAGUGACAAGCAUUAAGCAUAGCAAAGUCAUAGCAACAUCAAUCUCAGAACAUAGUGGAUACUAGGGAUCAAACCCUAACAAAACUAACUUGAUUACAUGGUAAAUCUCAUCCAACCCAUCACCUUCCAGCAAGCCUACGAUGGAAUUACUCACGCACGGCGGUGAGCAUCAUGAAAUUGGUGAUGGAGGAUGGUUGAUGAUGACGACGGCGACGAAUCCCCCUCUCCGGAGCCCCGAACGGACUCCAGAUCAGCCCUCCCGAGAGAGAUUAGGGCUUGGCGGCGGCUCCGUAUCGUAAAACGCGAUGAAACAUUCUCUCUGAUGUUUUUCUCCCCGAACAUGAAUAUAUGGAGUUGGAGUUGAGGUCGGUGGAGGUCCAGGGGGCCCACGAGACAGGGGGGCGCGCCCCCACCCUCGUGGACAGGGUGUGGACCCCCUGGUCUUGAUUCUUUCGCCAGUAUUUUUUAUAUUUUCCAAAAAGUGCCUUCGUGGAUCUUCUGGACAUUCUGAGAACUUUUCUUUUCUACACAUAAAACAACAUCAUGGCAGUUCUGCUGAAAAACAGCGUCAGUCCGGGUUAGUUUCAUUCAAAUCAAGCAAGUUAGAGUCCAAAACAAGGGCAAAAGUGUUUGGAAAAGUAGAUACGUUGGAGACGUAUCAACUCCCCCAAGCUUAAACCUUUGCUUGUCCUCAAGCAAUUCAGUUGAUAAACUGAAAGUGAUAAUGAAAAAAAUUUACAAACUCUGUUUGCUCUUGUUGUUGUAAACAUGAAAAGACAGCAUUCAGGUUUCAGCAAAUAUUAUGAACGAACCAUACUCACAAUAACACUUAGGUCUCACAAUUACUCAUAUCAAUAGCAUAACCAGCUAGCGAGCCAUAAUAAUAAAACUUGGAUGACAACACUUUCUCAAAACAAUCAUAACAUGAUAUAACAAAAUGGUAUCUCGCUAGCCCUUUCUAAGACCGCAAAACAUAAAUGCAGAGCACCUUUAAAGAUCAAGGACUGACUAAACAUUGUAAUUCAUGGUAAAAGAGAUCCAGUCAGGUCACACCCAAUAUAAACCAACAAUUAUGAAUGCAAAUGACAGUGUGCUCUCCAGCGGGUGCUUUUUAAUAAGAAGGGUGAUGACUGAACAUAAAAGUAAAUAGAUAGGCCCUUCGCAGAGGGAAGCAGGGAUUUGUAGAUAUGCCAGAGCUCGGUUUUAAAAUAGAGAUUGAAUAACAUUUUGAGCGGCGUACUUUUGCUGUCAACGCAACAACUAUGAGAUGGUUGUAUCUUCCAUACUACAUGCAUUAUAGGCAGUUCUCAAACAGAAUGGUAAAGGUUUAUACUCCCCCAACCACCAACAAGCAUCAAUCCAUGGCUUGCUCGAAACAACGAGUGCCUCCAACUAACAACAACCCUGGGGGAGUUUUGUUUAUUUAUUUUGAUUUGCUUUGAUCUUUUUGGAUCAUGGGACUGGGCAUCCCGGUUACCGGCCCUUUCUCAUGAAUGAGGAGCGGAGUCCACUCCUUUUGAGAAUAACCCACCUAGCAUGGAAGAUAUAGGCAGCCCUAGUUGUAACAUGAGCUGCCUGAGCAUACAAAACAGAAUUUCAUUUGAAGGUUUGGAGUUUGGCACAUACAAAUUUACGUAGAACGGCAGGUAAAUACCGCAUAUAGGAAGGUAUGGUGGACUCAUAUGGAACAACUUUGGGGUUUAAGGAGUUUGGAUGCACAAGCAAUAUUCCCGCUUAGUACAGGUGAAGGCUAGCAAAAGACUGGGAAGCGACCAACUAAGAGAGUGACAACAGUCAUAAACAUGCAUUAAAAUUAAUUUACACCGAAUACAAGCAUGAGUAGGAUAUAAUCUACCAUGAACAUAAAUACCAUGAAGGCUAUGUUGAUUUGUUUCAACUACAUGCGUGAACAUGUGCCAAGUCGAGUCACUCAAUUCAUUCAAAAGAGGAUACCAUCCCAUCAUAUCCCAUCAUAAUUAUUCUAAUAGCAUGUUGGCAUGCAAGGUAAACCAUUAUAACUCAUAGCUAAUAAAGCAUGGCACAAGCCACUAUAAUCUCUAAAUGUCAUUGCAAAUAUAUUUACUUCAUAAUAAGCUGACUCAGAAAUGAUGAACUCAUCAUAUUUACAAAAACAAGAGAGGUCGAGUUCAUACCAGCUUUUCUCAUCUCAAUAAGUUCAUCAUAUAUCGUCAUUAUUGCCUUUCACUUGCACGACCGAACGAUGUGUAUAAUAAUAAAAGUGCACGUGCAUUGGACUAAACUGGAAUCUGCAAGCAUUCAACUCAAGAGAGAAGACAAGUAAUAUGGGCUCUAAGUUAAAUAAACAAUCAUGCAUAUGAGAGCCACUAAACAUUUUCAAUAUGGUCUUCUCGACCCCCAAAGGAAAGAGAAGAAAAUAAAACUAUUUACACGGGAAAGCUCCCAACAAGUAAGAAGAAGAACGAGAAAUCUUUUUGGGUUUUCAUUUUAAUUCUACUACAAGCAUGGAACUUAAACUACUAAUUUUUUGGUUUUUCUCAAAGUUUAUCAAACACACAAGAAGAAAGCGAAAAAGAAAUUAAACUAACAUGGAUAAUACAAUGAAAGAGUAUGAGCACCGACGACUAGUGUGUGAACAUGAAUGUAAAGUCUGCGAUAAAUACAUACUCCGCCAAGCUUAGGCUUUUGGCCUAAGUUGGUCUAAUACCAAGGACCGCCUGGCUGAUAUCCGUAGUUGUAGCUGGGGUCGUACUGAGAUGCAGCGGCAACCGCCUCCUGAGCUGCGGCGUGUUGGCGAGCUGCCUCCGCUCUCCCCUUGUGUUCAACUGCUUCCUCCCUGGUGACAACAUAUCUUCCUUUUGCCUGAUAAUCAAAAAGUUGGGGAGCAGGAAGAGUAACAUGGACGACGUUGCGUCUAUUAUAGAUUAGUCGAUAAUGGAGGAAUUGUUCAUUCCUCCUAAGAAACUGAUGGUUGACCAUAGCGUCAUAAUCUAAAUAAGCAGGAGGUAUCAUCACAUCCCCCUCUCGUGGGGCUAAACCAAGAUAAUUAGCCACACGGGUUGCAUAAAUUCCUCCAAAUAAAUUUCCCUUUCUACUAUUAUUCUGCAACCUACGUGCAACUAUUGCCCCCAAGUUAUAACCUUUCUAUCCUAACACAGCACUCUGGAGGACACACAGAUCAGGGACACACAUGUGACAAGCUUCAUCUUUACCGUUAAUGCAUCUACCAAUGAAGAGAGAAAAAUAAUGUAUAGCAGGAAAAAUGAAUGCUCCCUAUGGUAGCUUGUGCUAUGUCCCUGGAUUCUCCCAUAGUAAUACUAGCAAGGAAGUCUCUAAAUUCAGAUUUGUGAGGAUCAUUAAUAUUACCCCACUGCGGGAGUUUGCAAGCAGUUGUAAAAUCCUCUAAAUCCAUGGCAUAAGAUGUAUCAUAAAUAUCAAAUAGGACACUAGGAUAAUUACAUGUACAGUUAUAUUUAAAUCUCCGCACAAAGAAAUCAGUCAAUUGAUAGUCCUGAGGACACUUAUCUUGUAAGAAGUCCUCCAGCUCAGCAUUACGCACAUACGCGCCAAAUUCCUCCUUAAAGCCUACUCCGACCAUAAAAUCAUCGGAUGGCCACUCACAAGCUCGUACAUCCGCGUCCCUCGGCAAUUCAACAUCUUGCUCACGUAUAGCAAUCCUGGGCCCUUUCUUCACCGAGGAACUACCUUGGUACAUUCUCCUAGACAUAAUUCUUUUUCUGCAAAAUUUCUGAAAUUUUAGUAACUUCAAAAUAAAAGUGAACAAAACUAAACAAGAUUGGUAGCAACUACUUCUACAAGUGCCUAGAGCUUAUAUCAUGCAUUAGAAUUGCUUGGGACCUCAUAAAUUCAACAUGCAAGAUCAAGAAUAUGGUCACCUAUGCAGCAAAAAUUUGCAAUGAAUAAAGCACUAGAACAAAAACUAAUUGGACCAAUGGAGGAGUCACAUACCAAGCAACAAUCUCCCAAAGCAGUUUUGUUAAUGGAGCUUUGAGCAAGGAGAUCGAAAAUCGCAGCAAAAUGAGCUUGAACUCGUGCUUGAGCUAGAUGGGGAUUUUUUGGGUAGAAGAUGAAGCGUGUGGGUUCUGGCAUAAGUGGAGGGGGGCCACCAGGGGCCCACAAGACAGGGGGCGUGCCCAGGAGAGGUGGGCACGCCCUCCACUCUCGUGGCCUGGUGCUUGCCCCUCCUGUAGUGAUUUGAGUGCCUAAAAUCCUCAAAUAUUCCAUAAAAAAUCAUACUAAAUUUGCAGGGCAUUUGGAGCACUUUUAUUUUUUGGAUAUUUUUUAAUGCACGGAUAAUUCAGAAAACAGACAUAUAAUACUAUUUUUGCUUUAUUUAUUCUAAGUAACAGAAAGUAAAAAGAGAGUACAGAAGGUUGUGCCUUCUAGUUUCAUUCAUCUCAUGAUCAUCAAAAUGAAUCCACUAACAAGGUUGAUCAAGUCUUGUUAACAAACUCAUUCCGAAUAACACGGAACCGGAGAAAUUUUGAAUAACACUAAGUUACCUCAACGGGGAUAUGAAAAUCCCCAUCAAUAAGAAUGUCAUAUUUUUUUCUUGACAGUAGGUAGAGGAAAUUCAAAACCUUCAAUAAUGAUAGUUGGAACUUUUCCAAUAGAAUUGAUGCUAUGAACUUGAGAUUGUUUCCUUGGAAAGUGUACCGUAUGCUCAUUACCAUUAACAUGAAAAGUGACAUGGCCUUUGUUGCAAUCAAUAACAGCCCUGCAGUAUUUAAAAAGGGUCUACCAAGGAUAAUAGACAUACUAUCGUCCUCGGGAAUAUCAAGAAUAACAAAGUUCGUUAGGAUAGUGACAUUUGCAACCACAAUAGGCACAUCCUCACAAAUACCGACAGGUAUAGCAGUUGAUUUAUCAGCCAUUUGCAAAGAUUUUUCAGUAGGUGUCAACUUUUUCAAUUCAAGUCUACGAUAUAAAGAGAGAGGCAUAACACUAACACCGGCUCCAAGAUCACAUAAAGCAGUUCUAACAUAAUUUCUUUUAAUGGAGCAUGGUAUAGUUGGUACACCCGGAUCUCCAAGUUUCUUUGGUAUUCCAUCCUUAAAAGUGUAAUUAGCGAGCAUGGUGGAAAUUUCAGCUUCCGGUAUCUUUCUUUUGUUUGUGAUGAUAUCCUUCAUAUAUUUAGCAUAAGGAUUUACUUUAAGCAUAUCAGUUAAGCGCAUACGUAAGAAGAUAUGUCUAAUCAUUUUAGCAAAGCGCUCAAAAUCCUCAUCAUCCUUUGUCUUGGAUGGUUUAGGAGGAAAGGGCAUGGGUUUCUGAACCCAUGGUUCUCUUUCUUUAUCGUGCUUCCUAGCAACAAAAUCUCUCUUAUCAUAACGUUGAUUCCUUGAUUGUGGGUUAUCAAGAUCAACAACAUGUUCAAUCUCUACUUCAUUGUUUUUGCUAGGUUGGGCAUCAACAUGAACAUUAUUAUUAACAUUAUCACUAGGUUCAUGUUCAUCACCUGAUUGCGUUUCAACAUCACAAAUAGAAAUAUCAUUGGGAUUCUCGGGUGUGUCUACAACAGGUUCACUAGAAGCAUGCAAAGUUCUAUCGUUUUUCUUUUUCUUCUUUUUAGAAGAACUAGGUGCUUCUAAAUUAUUUCUCUGAGAAUCUUGCUCGAUUCUCUUAGGGUGGCCUUCAGGAUACAAAGGUUCCCGAGUCAUUCUACCAGUUCUAGUAGCCACUCUAACAGCAAAGUCAUUUUUAUUAUUUUAUUCAUCAAGCACAUCAUUUUGAGCUUUAAGUACUUGCUCAGGUUGAGUAGCAACCAUAGAAGUAUAUUUGCUAAUGAGUUUGAGUUCACCUUUAACUCUAGCCAUAUCACACCGCACGCGCCCUAUCUCGAAAGCAUUAUUCUUUAACUCUCUACCAACAUAAGCAUUAAAACUUUCUUGUCUAGCCAUAAAGUCAUUAAAUUCAUCUAAGCAUGGGCUAUGAAAUUUAGUAGAGGGGAUUUCAACUUUAUCAUAUCUAUAGAGAGAAUUUACCUUUGCUACCUAUGUUGGGUUAUCAAGACAAUGUGGUUCUUCGACAGGCGGUAUAUUAAGACCAUGUAUUUCUUCAAUUGGUGGUAAAUUCUUAACAUCUUCAGCUUUAAUACCUUUUUCUUUCAUUGAUUUCUUUGCCUCUUGCAUAUCUUCGGGACUGAGAAAUAAAACACCUCUCUUCUUUGGAGUGGGUUUGGGAAUAGGCUCAGGAGUUGGCUUAAUUGGUUCAGGAAUUUCCUUAGGAAUUGGCUCAGGAAGAGUCCAAUUAUUUUCAUUGGUCAACAUAUUAUUCAAUAGUAAUUCAGCUUCGUCGACUGCUCUUUCCCUGAAAACACAACCAGCAAAACUAUCCAAGUAGUCCUUGGAAGUAUCGGUUAGUCCAUUAUAAGAAAUAUCAAGUAUUUCAUUUUUCCUAAGAGGAUGAUCAGGCAAAUCAUUAAGUAAUCGGAGAAGCCUCCCCCAAGCUUGUGGGAGACUCUCUUUUUUGACUUGCACAAAAUUAUAUAUUUCCCGCAAGGCAGCUUGUUUCUUACGAGCAGGGAAAUAUUUAGCAGAGAAGUAAUAAAUCAUAUCCUAGGGACUACGCACACAACCAGGAGCAAGAGAAUUAUACCAAGUCUUAGCAUCACCCUUUAACGAGAACGGAAAUAUCUUAAGGAUAUAAAAAUAGCGAGAUUUAUCAUCAUGAGUAAAUAGGGUAGCUAUAUCAUUCAACUUGGUAAGAUGUGCCACAACUGUUUCAGAUUCAAGGCCAUAAAAAGUAUCAGUCAACCAAAGUAAUAAUCUCAGGAUCAACAUUGAAUUCAUAAUCCUUAUCAGUAACAUAGAUAGGUGAAGUAGCAAAAGCAGGGUCAGGUUUCAUUCUAGCAUUAAGAGACUGUUGCUUCCAUUUAGCUAAUAAUUUCUUAAGAUCAUAUCAAUCACUGCAAGCAAAGAUAGAUCUAGCAGCGUCUUCAUUCAUAACAUUACCCUCAGGAACAACAGGUAAUUUAUAAUCAUUGGGAGAAUUUUCAUCAUCAGUAUCAUCAAUAAUAGUAUCUUCAACAAUUUCAUUCCCCCUAACCCUAGCAAGUUGUUCAUCAAGAAAUUCACCUAAUGGCAAAGUAGUAUCACGCACAUAAGUAGUUUCAUCAUAAGUAUCAUGCAUAGCUGAAGUGGCAUCAUCAAUAACAUGCGACAUAUCAGAGUUCAUAGCAGUAGCAGGUUUAGGUGUCGCAAGCUUAAUCAAAACAGAAGGAGAAUCUAGUGCACAGCUAGAUGGAAGUUCCUUACCUCCCCUCGUAGUUGAGGGAAAAAUCGUGGUCCUGUUGUCUUUCAAGUUCUUCGUAGUGAUCAACAGAUAUAAAUCCCAAGUGACUCAGAAUAUAGAGCUAUGCUCCCCGGCAACGGCGCCAGAAAUUAGUCUUGAUAACCCACAAGUGUAGGGGAUCGCAACAGCUUUCGAGGGUAAAGUAUUCAACCCAAAUUUAUUGAUUCGACACAAGGGGAGCCAAAGAAUAUUCUUGAGUAUUAGCAGUUGAGUUGUCAAUUCAACCACACCUGGAUAACUUAGUAUCUGCAGCAAAGUAUUUAGUAGCAAAGUAAUAUGAUAAUAAAGGUAACGAUAGCAAAAGUAAUAUUUUUGGGUUUUGUAGUGAUUGUAACAAUAGCAACGGAAAAUUAAUAAGCGAAGAACAAUAUGUGAAAAGCUCAUAGGCAAUGGAUCAGUGAUGGAUAAUUAUGUCGAAUGCGAUUCCUUAGGGAAAAGAACUAGCUCCAAUUCAUUAGUGUAGGCAUGUAUUCUGAAUAUAGUCAUACAUGCUUAUGGAAAAGAACUUGCAUGACAUCUUUUGUCCUACCCUCCCAUGGCAGCGGGGUCCUAGUGGAAACUAAGGGACAUUAAGGCCUCCUUUUAAUAGAGAACCGGAACAAAGCAUUAGCACAUAGUGAAUACAUGAACUCCUGAAACUAUGGUCAUCACCGAGAAAUAUCCCGAUUAUUGUCACUUCGGGGUUGUCGGAUCAUAACACAUAAUAGGUGACUAUAGACUUGCAAGAUAGGAUCAAGAACACACAUAUAUUCAUGAAAACAUAAUAGGUUCAUAUCUGAAAUCAUGGCACUCGGGCCCUAGUGACAAGCAUUAAGCAUAACAAAGUCAUAGCAACAUCAAUCUCAGAACAUAGUGGAUACUAGGGAUCAAACCCUAACAAAACUAACUUGAUUACAUGGUAAAUCUCAUCCAACCCAUCACCGUCCAGCAAGCCUACGAUGGAAUUACUCAUGCACGGCGGUGAGCAUCAUGAAAUUAGUGAUGGAGGAUGGUUGAUGAUGACGACGGCGAAGAAUCCCCCUCUCCGGAGCCCCGAACGGACUCCAGAUCAGCCCUCCCGAGAGAGAUUAGGGCUUGGCGGCGGCUCUGUAUCGUAAAACGCGAUGAAACUUUCUCUCUGAUUUUUUUCUCCCUGAACGUGAAUAUAUGGAGUUGGAGUUGAGGUCGAUGGAGGUCCAGGGGCCCACGAGACAAGGGGGCGCGCCCAGGGAGAGGGGGCGCGCCCCCCACCCUCGUGGACAGGGUGUGGGCCCCUGGUCUUGAUUAUUUCGCCAGUACUUUUUAUAUUUUCCAAAAAGUGCCUCCGUGGAUUUUCAGGACAUUCCGAGAACUUUUCUUUUCUACACAUAAAACAACAUCAUGGCAGUUCUGCUGAAAACAACGUCAGUCCGAGUUAGUUUCAUUCAAAUCAAGCACGUUAGAGUCCAAAACAAGGGCAAAAGUGUUUGUGAAAGUAGAUAUGUUGGAGACGUAUCAGGGAAUAAGGUGAAGACGCGGUCUUUUGAGUGAAAUCUCAGUCUCCCUUACUAGACGUACAGUUGUCACAGCAACUGGAACUGGUCCAACAAACCCCUUGUCUUCUGCGAGCAAUUGGUUCUAUCCUACCUCUCUCACCUUACUUACAGUUUGUCUUCGUGAAGUCUUUUCCUGCUUUACUUAUCUGUUUGACUUCACUGUGUGAAGACUGUUGUCUGUUUGGCUUCAUACUAUCUUCCAUCCUGAUCCAACCUACCUAGCUGCUUAUAGUCUUCGUGCUGUCACUUCAUUGCUUACUUGACUAUGGCUUGUCUAGUGUAGUCUACCUUCUGGUGCAUGUCAAUUGGGUCAUUUUUAUCGUUUGUCUUCGAAACACCCAUGUUUUGAAGACUUUCAUAAAAAUCGCCUAUUCACCCCCCUCUAGUCGAAUACUAGCACUUUCAGUUGGUAUCGGAGCGAUGUGCUCCCUUGUUCUGUGUGAUUCGGUUUAACCACCUGGAGUUUAGCUAUGUCGACUGCAGGGAUAAUCAAGCUCUCCGCUGCGUGCCUUGUUUUCGAUGGCACUGAUUACCCCUACUGGAAGAAUAGGAUGUGCAUGCAUCUUGAAGCCAUUGAUGUCGAUCUCUGGUAUGUCGUCAAGAACGGCGUUCCCAAGACUGGUGAAGGUGUCACGCCUGCUGAUGUCAAGAAGUUCGUGCAACUGGACUCAACUGGCAAGAACAUCAUCUAUGGUCAUCCGACCAAGGGACAGUAUGGUCGUAUGAGUGCUCUGGAAACAUCGAAGCUAGUCUGGGACUGGCUCUCCAAGGUCAAUUAAGGCGUCUCAUCCCAGAGAGACUCAAGGAUUAGUGUUCUUUGCAAUCUCUUCAACCGCUUCAAGAGACACAAUAAUGAGAAUGUCCAACUCACAUUUGAUCGCCUCACUGAUAUCACAAAUGAGCUUCAUGCUCUCGGUGCCACUGAGAUCACCAAGCAUGAAAUUGUCAAGACACUCCUGAGAUCACUUGACAGCUCGUUUGAUACCCUAGCCCUGAUGAUUCAAGAAUGCCACGACUUCAAGACACUCGAUCCAUCUGACAUACUUGAGAGGCUCAACACACAUGAGUUUCAGUUAUUUGAGAAAAGAGACAUCUAUGGUCCCAACUAUGGCCGAACUCGCGCUUUGAAGCCAAAGGUUGUUUCCUAAUCUGAAGAAGAAUUUGAUUGCAGUUCUGGUGAUCUUGAAGACAUUGGAAAGGAUCUUUAUAUGCUUGUGAAGAAGUUCCAGAAGUUCACGAAGAAGAAAGACUUCAGAAUGUCUUCAAGAUCUAGCUCAAGGAAUGAUGAAGCUUCCUCUCAUGAUCACAAGAAGAGAACCUGUCACAAGCGCAAGAAACCUGGUCACUACAUCUCUGAGUGUCCACAGUGGGACAACGAGACAAAGAAGAAGAAGAAGAGCAAGGACUAUGAUUCUGAUGACAAGAAGAAGAAGAAAUCCUCAAAGUCUUCUUCCAAGUCUUCGUCGAAGUCUUCUUCACACAAGAAGAGCUCAUCUAGCAAGGCUCGUGCUUUUGUUGGCAAGGAGAUGGAUUCAGAGGAGGAGUCUGCAUCUUAGGAGGCAGAGGUGGAAGCCGAGGAAGAAUCUGAUUCUGGAGUGGCAAGCCUUGAAGGAAAUAUGCCCUAGAGGCAAUAAUAAAGUUAUUAUUUAUUUCCUCAUAUCAUGAUAAAUGUUUAUUAUUCAUGCUAGAAUUGUAUUAACCGGAAACAUGAUACAUGUGUGAAUACAUAGACAAACAUAUAGUCACUAGUAUGCCUCUACUUGACUAGCUCAUUAAUCAAAGAUGGUUAUGUUUCCUGACCAUAGACAUGUGUUGUCAUUUGAUUAAUGGGAUCACAUCAUUAGGAGAAUGAUGUGAUUGACAUGACCCAUCCCGUUAGCUUAGCACUUGAUCGUUUAGUAUUCUGCUAUUGCUUUCUUCAUGACUUAUACAUGUUCCUGUAACUAUGAGAAUUAUGCAACUCCCGUUUACCGGAGGAACACUUUGGGUACUACCAAACGUCACAACGUAACUGGGUGAUUAUAAAGGAGUACUACAGGUGUCUCCAAAGGUACAUGUUGAGUUGGCGUAUUUCGAGAUUAGGUUUUGUCACUCCGAUUGUCGGAGAGGUAUCUCUGGGCCCUCUAGGUAAUACUCAUCACUUAAGCCUUGCAAGCAUUAUAACUAAUGAGUUAGUUAUGAGAUGACGUAUUACAGAACGAGUAAAGAGACUUGCCGGUAACGAGAUUGAACUAGGUAUUGGAUACCGACGAUCAAAUCUCGGGCAAGUAACAUACCGAUGACAAAGGGAACAACGUAUGUUGUUAUGCGGUUUGAGCGAUAAAGAUCUUCGUAGAAUAUGUAGGAACCAAUAUGGGCAUCCAGGUCCCGCUAUUGGUUAUUGACCGAGAAUGGUUUUAGGUCAUGUCUACAUAGUUCUCGAACCCGUAGGGUCCGCACGCUUAACGUUUCGAUGACAGUUUUAUUAUGAGUUUAUAAGUUUUGAUGUACCGAAGUUUGUUCGGAGUCCCGGAUGUGAUCACGGACAUGACGAGGAGUCUCGAAAUGGUCGAGACAUAAAGAUUGAUAUAUUGGAAGCCUAUAUUUGGACAUCGGAAUGGUUCCGGGUGAAAUCGGGAUUUUACCGGAACACCGGGGGUUACCGGAACCCUCCCGGGGGAUAUUGGGCCAUAGUGGGCCAAGAGGGAGAAGAGGAGGGCUGGCCAGGGCAGGCCGCGCGCCCCCUCCCCCUAGUCCGAAUAGGACAAGGAAGGGGGGGGGGGGCGGCGCCCCCCUUUCCUCUUUCCCCUCCCCCCCUUUCCUUCUCCACCAAGGCAAGAGGGGGGAGUCCUACUCCUGGUGGGAGUAGGACUCCUCUAGGCGCACCCCUAGGGGGCCGGCCGCACCUCCCCCCUCCCUCCUUUAUAUACGGGGGCAGGGGGCACCCCAUAGACACACAAGUUGAUCUUCGUGAUCGUUCCUUAGCCGUGUGCGGUGCCCCCCUCCACCAUAUUCCACCUCGGUCAUAUCGUCGCGGAGUUUAGGCGAAGCCCUGCGCCGGUAGAGCAUCAUCAUCGUCACCACGCCGUCCUGCUGACGGAACUCAUCCCCGACACUUUGCUGGAUCAGAGUCCGGGGAUCGUCAUCGAGCUGAACGUGUGCUGAACUCGGAGGUGCCGUACAUUCGGUACUUGGAUCGGUCAGAUCAUGAAGACAUACGACUACAUCAACCGCGUUGUCAUAACGCUUCCGCUUACGGUCUACGAGGGUACAUGGACAAUACUCUCCCCUCUCAUUGCUAUGCCAUCACCAUGAUCUUGCGUGUGCGUAGGAAAUUUUAUGAAAUUACUACGUUCUCCAACAGUGGCAUCCGAGCCUAGGUUUUAUGCGUUGAUGUUAUAUACACGAGUAGAACACAAGUGAGUUGCGGGCGAUACAAGUCAUACUGCUUACCAGCAUGUCAUACUUUGGUUCGGCAGUAUUGUGAGAUGAAGUGGACCGGACCGACAUUACGCGUACGCUUACGCGAGACUGUUUUCACCGUUACGAGCACUCGUGCUUAAAGGUGACUGGCGGGUGUCUGUCUCUCUCACUUUAGCUGAAUCGAGUGUGGCUACGCCCGGUCCUUGCGAAGGUUAAAACAGCACCAACUUGAUGAACUAUCGUUGUGAUUUUUGAUGCGUAGGUAAGAACGGUUCUUGCUAAGCCCGUAGCAGCCACGUAAAAUUUGCAACAACAAAGUAGAGGACGUCUAACUUGUUUUUGCAGGGCAUGUUGUGAUGUGAUAUGGUCAAGACGUGAUGCUAUAUUUUAUUGUAUGAGAUGAUCAUGUUUUGUAACCGAAGUUAUCGGCAACUGGCAGAGGCCAUAUGGUUGUCGCUUUAUUGUAUGAAAUGCAAAUAGUCGUAAUUGCUUUACUUUAUCACUAAGCGGUAGCGAUAGUCGUAGAAGCAAUAGAUGGCGUAACGACAACGAUGCUAUGAUGGAGAUCAAGGUGUCGCGCCGGUGACGAUGGUGAUCAUGACGGUGCUUCGAAGAUGGAGAUCACAAGCACAAGAUGAUGAUGGCCAUAUCAUAUCACUUAUAUUGAUUGCAUGUGAUGUUUAUCCUUUAUGCAUCUUAUCUCGCUUUGAUUGACGGUAGCAUUUUAAGAUGAUCUCUCACAAAUUAUCAAGAAGUGUUCUCCCUGAGUAUGCACCGUUGCGAAAGUUCUUCGUGCUGAGACACCACGUGAUGAUCGGGUGUGACAGGCUCUACGUUCAAAUACAACGGGUGCAAAACAGUUGCACACGCGGAAUACUCAGGUUAUACUUGACGAGCCUAGCAUAUACAGAUAUGGCCUCGGAACACGGAGACCGAAAGGUCAAGCGUGAAUCAUAUAGUAGAUAUGAUCAACAUAGAGAUGUUCACCAUUGAAACUACUCCAUCUCACGUGAUGAUCGGACAUGGUUUAGUUGAUUUGGAUCAUGUGAUCACUUAGAUGACUAGAGAGAUGUCUGUCUAAGUGGGAGUUCUAAAGUAAUAUGAUUAAUUGAACUUAAAUUUAUCAUGAACUUAGUACCUGAUAGUAUCUUGCUUGUCUAUGUUUGUUUGUAGAUAGAUGGCUCGUGCUGUUGUUCCGUUCAAUUUUAAUGCGUUCCUUGAGAAAGAAAGUUGAAAGAUGAUGGUAGCAAUUACACGGAGUGGGUCCGUAACCUGAGGAUUAUCCUCAUUGCUGCACAGAAAAAUUACGUCCUAGAAGCACCGCUGGGUGCCAGGCCUGCUGCUGAUGCAACUGACGACGUUAAGAACGUCUGGCAGAGCAAAGCUGAUGACUACUCUAUAGUUCAGUGUGCCAUGCUUUACGGCUUAGAACCAGGCCUUCAACGAUGUUUUGAACGUCAUGGAGCAUAUGAGAUGUUCCAGGAGUUGAAGUUAAUAUUUCAAGCUAAUGCCCGGCUUGAGAGAUAUGAAGUCUCCAAUAAGUUCUAUAGCUGCAAGAUGGAGGAGAAUAGUUCUGUCAGUGAACACAUACUCAAAAUGUCUGGGUAUAAUAAUCACUUGAUUCAACUCGGAGUUAAUCUUCCUGAUGAUAGUGUCAUUGACAGAAUUCUCCAAUCACUGCCACCAAGCUACAAGAGCUUCGUGAUGAACUAUAAUAUGCAAGGGAUGAACAAGACUAUUCCUAAGCUCUUUGCAAUGCUGAAAGCCGCGGAGGUAGAAAUCAAGAAGGAGCAUCAAGUGUUGAUGGUUAACAAGACCACUAGUUUCAAGAAGAAGGGCAAAGGGAAGAAGAAGGGGAACUUCAAAAAGAACGGCAAGCAAGUUGCUGCUCAAGAGAAGAAACCCAAGUCUGGACCUAAGCCUGAAACUGAGUGCUUCUACUGCAAGCAGACUGGACACUGGAAGCGGAACUGCCCCAAGUAUUUGGCGGAUAAGAAGGAUGGCAAAGUGAACAAAGGUAUAUGUGAUAUACAAGUUAUUGAUGUGUACCUUACUAAUGCUCGCAGUAGCACCUGGGUAUUUGAUACUGGUUCUGUUGCUAAUAUUUGCAACUCGAAACAGGGACUAUGGAUUAAGCGAAGAUUAGCUAAGGACGAGGUGACGAUGUGCGUGGGAAAUGGUUCCAAAGUCGAUGUGAUCGCGGUCGGCACGCUACCUCUACAUCUACCAUCGGGAUUAGUUUUAGACCUAAAUAAUUGUUAUUUGGUGCCAGCGUUGAGCAUGAACAUUAUAUCUGGAUCUUGUUUGAUGCGAGACGGUUAUUCAUUUAAAUCAGAGAAUAAUGGUUGUUCUAUUUAUAUGAGUAAUAUCUUUUAUGGUCAUGCACCCUUGAAGAGUGGUCUAUUUUUAUUAAAUCUCGAUAGUAGUGAUACACAUAUUCAUAGUGUUGAAACCAAAAGAUGCAGAAUUGAUAAUGAUAGUGCAACUUAUUUGUGGCACUGCCGUUUAGGUCAUAUCGGUGUAAAGCGCAUGAAGAAACUCCAUACUGAUGGGCUUUUGGAAUCACUUGAUUAUGAAUCACUUGGUACUUGCGAACCGUGCCUUAUGGGCAAGAUGACUAAAACGCCAUUCUCCGGUACUAUGGAGAGAGCAACAGAUUUGUUGGAAAUCAUACAUACAGAUGUAUGUAGUCCAAUGAAUGUUGAGGCUCGUGGGGGAUAUCGUUAUUUUCUCACCUUCACAGAUGAUUUAAGCAGAUAUGGGUAUAUCUACUUUAUGAAACACAAGUCUGAGACAUUUGAAAAGUUCAAAGAAUUUCAGAGUGAAGUGGAAAAUCAUCGUAACAAGAAAAUAAAGUUUCUACGAUCUGAUCGUGGAGGAGAAUAUUUGAGUUACGAGUUUGGUCUACACUUGAAACAAUGCGGGAUAGUCUCGCAACUCACGCCACCUGGAACACCACAACGAAAUGGUGUGUCCGAACGUUGUAAUCGUACUUUACUUGAUAUGGUACGAUCUAUGAUGUCUCUUACUGAUCUACCGCUAUCGUUUUGGGGUUAUGCUGUAGAGACGGCCGCAUUCACGUUAAAUAGGGCACCAUCAAAAUCCGUUGAGAGGACGCCUUAUGAACUGUGGUUUGGCAAGAAACCAAAGUUGUCGUUUCUCAAAGUUUGGGGCUGCAAUGCUUAUGUGAAGAAACUUCAACCAGAUAAGCUCGAACCCAAAUCGGAGAAAUGUGUCUUCAUAGGAUACCCAAAGGAGACUAUUGGGUACACCUUCUAUCACAGAUCUGAGGGCAAGAUUUUCGUUGCUAAAUUCGGAUCCUUUCUAGAGAAGGAGUUUCUCUCGAAAGAAGUGAGUGGGAGGAAAGUAGAACUUGAUGAGAUAACUGUAUCUACUCCCUUAUUGGAAAGUAGUUCAUCACAAGAACCGGUUCCUGUGACAACUACACCAAUCAGUGAGGAAGCUAAUGAUAUUGAUCAUGAAACUUCAGAACAAGUUUCUACAGAACCUCGUAGGUCUACCAGAGUAAGAUCCACACCAGAGAGGUAUGGUAAUCCUAUUCUGGAAGUCAUGUUACUUGACCAUGAUGAACCUACGAACUAUGAGGAAGCGAUGAUGAGCCCAGAUUCCGCAAAAUGGCUAGAGGCCAUGAAAAUCUGAGAUGGGAUCCAUGUAUGAAAACAAAGUAUCGACUUUGGUUGACUUGCCCGAUGAUCGGCAAGCCAUUGAGAAUAAAUGGAUUUUUAAGAAGAAUACUGACGCUGAUGGUAAUGUAACUGUCUAUAAAGCUCGACUUGUUGCGAAAGGUUUUCGACAAGUUCAAGGGGUUGACUACGAUGAGACUUUCUCACCCGUAGCGAUGCUUAAGUCUGUCCGAAUCAUGUUAGCCAUUGCUGCAUUUCAUGAUUAUGAAAUUUGGCAAAUGGAUGUCAAGACUGCAUUCUUGAAUGGAUUUCUAGAAGAAGAGUUGUAUAUGAUGCAGCCGGAAGGUUUUGUUGAUCCAAAAGGUGCUAACAAAGUGUGCAAGCUCCAGCGUUCCAUUUAUGGACUGGUGCAAGCAUCUCGGAGUUGGAAUAAACGCUUUGAUAGUGUGAUCAAAGCAUAUGGUUUUAUACAGACUUUUGGAGAAGCCUGUAUUUACAAGAAAGUGAGUGGGAGCUCUGUAGCAUUUCUAGUUUUAUAUGUAGAUGACAUAUUGUUAAUUGGAAAUGAUAUGGAAUUUUUGGAUAGCAUAAGGGGAUACUUGAAUAAAAGUUUUUCAAUGAAAGACCUCGGUGAAGCUGCUUAUAUAUUGGGCAUCAAGAUCUAUAGAGAUAGAUCAAGACGCUUAAUAGGACUUUCACAAAGCACAUACCUUGACAAAAUUUUGAAAAAGUUCAAAAUGGAUCAGGCAAAGAAAGGAUUCUUGCCUGUGCUACAAGGUGUGAAGUUGAGUCAAACUCAAUGCCCGACCACAGCAGAAGAUAGAGAGAAAAUGAAAGAUGUUCCCUAUGCUUCAGCCAUAGGCUCUAUCAUGUAUGCAAUGCUGUGUACCAGACCUGACGCAUGCUUAGCAAUAAGCUUGGCAGGAAGGUACCAAAGUAAUCCAGGAGUGGAUCACUGGACAGCAGUCAAGAACAUCCUGAAAUACCUGAAAAGGACUAAGGAUAUGUUUCUCGUAUAUGGAGGUGACAAAGAGCUAGUCGUAAAAGGUUACGUCGAUGCAAGCUUUGACACUGAUCCGGACGAUUCUAAAUCUCAAACCGGAUACGUGUUUAUAUUAAACGGUGGAGCUGUAAGUUGGUGCAGUUCUAAACAAAGCGUCGUGGCGGGAUCUACAUGUGAAGCAGAGUACAUAGCUGCUUCUGAAGCAGCAAAUGAAGGUGUCUGGAUGAAGGAGUUCAUUUCCGAUCUAGGUGUCAUACCUAGUGCAUCGGGACCAAUGAAGAUCUUUUGUGACAAUACUGGUGCAAUUGCCUUGGCAAAGGAAUCCAGAUUUCACAAGAGGACCAAGCACAUCAAGAGACGCUUCAAUUCCAUUCGGGACCAAGUCCAAGUGGGAGACAUAGAGAUUUGCAAGAUACAUACGGAUCUGAAUGUUGCAGACCCGUUGACUAAGCCUCUCUCACGAGCAAAGCAUGAUCAGCACCAAGACUCCAUGGGUGUUAGAAUCAUUACUAUGUAAUCUAGAUUAUUGACUCUAGUGCAAGUGGGAGACUGAAGGAAAUAUGCCCUAGAGGCAAUAAUAAAGUUAUUAUUUAUUUCGUCAUAUCAUGAUAAAUGUUUAUUAUUCAUGCUAGAAUUGUAUUAACCAGAAACAUGAUACAUGUGUGAAUACAUAGACAAACAUAUAGUCACUAGUAUGCCUCUACUUGACUAGCUCAUUAAUCAAAGAUGGUUAUGUUUCCUGACCAUAGACAUGUGUUGUCAUUUGAUUAAUGGGAUCACAUCAUUAGGAGAAUGAUGUGAUUGACAUGACCCAUCCCGUUAGCUUAGCACUUGAUCGUUUAGUAUUCUGCUAUUGCUUUCUUCAUGACUUAUACAUGUUCCUGUUGUUGGGGAACGUAGUAAUUUCAAAAAUUUCCUGCGCACACGCAAGAUCAUGGUGAUGGCAUAGCAACGAGAGGCGAGAGUGUAUGUCCACGUACCCUCGUAGACCGUAAGCGGAAGCGUUAGCACAACGCGGUUGAUGUAGUCGUACGUCUUCAUGAUCCGACCGAUCCAAGCACCGAACGUACGGGGCCUCCGAGUUCAGCACACGUUCAGCUCGAUGACGUCCCUUGAACUCCGAUCUAGCCGAGUGUCGAGGGAGAGUUCCGUCAGCACGACGGCGUGGUGACGAUCUUGAUGUUCUACAGGCGCAGGGCUUCGCCUAAGCUUCGCGGUGAUAUGACCGAGGUGGAAUAUGGUGGAAGGGGGCACCGCACACGGCUAAGGAACGAUCCAAAGAUCAACUGUGUGUUCAUGGGGUGCCCCCUGCCCCCGUAUAUAAAGGAGGGAGGGAGGAGGAGGCCGGCCCUAUGAGGGGCGCGCCAUGGGGAGUCCUACUCCCACCGGGAGUAGGAUUCCCCCUUUCCUAGUCCAACUAGGGGUCCUUCCAUGUAGUAGGAGUAGGAGACUAGGAAGGGGAAGAGAGAAGGAAAGGAAGGAGGGGGUGCGGCCCCUCCCCCUAGUCCAAUUCGGACUAGGCCUUGGGGGGGCGCGCGGCCUGCCCUAGGCAGCCCCUCUCUCUUUCCCGCAGGGCCCAAUAAGGCCCAAUACUUCUCCCCGGCGAAUUCUCGUAACUCUCCGGUACUCCGAAAAAUACCCGAAUCACUCGGAACCUUUCCGAACUCCGAAUAUAGUCGUCCAAUAUAUCGAUCAUUACGUCUCGACCAUUUCGAGACUCCUCGUCAUGUCCCCGAUCUCAUCCGGGACUCCAAACUCCUUCGGUACAUCAAAACUCAUAAACUCAUAAUAUAACUAUCAUCGAAACCUUAAGCGUGCGGACCCUACGGGUUCGAGAACUAUGUAGACAUGACCUAGAACUAUUCUUGGUCAAUAACCAAUAGCGGGACCUGGAUGCCCAUAUUGGCUCCUACAUAUUCUACGAAGAUCUUUAUCGGUCAAACCGCAUAACAACAUACGUUGUUCCCUUUGUCAUCGGAAUGUUACUUGCCCGAGAUUCGAUCGUCGGUAUCCAAUACCUAGUUCAAUCUCGUCACCGGCAAGUCUCUUUACUCGUUCUGUAAUGCAUCAUCCCGUAACCAACUCAUUGGUCACAUUGCUUGCAAGGCUUAUAAUGAUGUGCAUUACCGAGAGGGCCCAGAGAUACCUCUCCGACAAUCGGAGUGACAAAACCUAAUCUCGAAUUAUGCCAACCCAACAUGUACCUUCGGAGACACCUGUAGAGCACCUUUAUAAUCACCCAGUUACGUUGUGACGUUUGGUAGCACACAAAGUGUUCCUCCGGUAAACGGGAGUUGCAUAAUCUCAUAGUCAUAGGAACAUGUAUAAGUCAUGAAGAAAGCAAUAGCAACAUACUAAACGAUCGGUUGCUAAGCUAACAGAAUGGGUCAUGUCAAUCAGAUCAUUCAACUAAUGAUGUGAUCUUGUUAAUCAAAUAACAACUCUUUGUUCAUGGUUAGGAAACAUAACCAUCUUUGAUUAACGAGCUAGUCAAGUAGAGGCAUACUAGUGAAACUCUGUUUGUCUAUAUAUUCACACAUGUAUUAUGUUUCCGGUUAAUACAAUUCUAGCAUGAAUAAUAAACAUUUAUCAUGAUAUAAGGAAAUAAAUAAUAACUUUAUUAUUGCCUCUAGGGCAUAUUUCCUUCAGUCUCCCACUUGCACUAGAGUCAAUAAUCUAGAUCACAUCACCAUGUGAUUAACAUCGAUAGUUCACAUCAUCAUAUGAUUAACACCCAUAGUUCACAUCGCCAUGUGACCAACACCCAAAGGGUUUACUAGAUUCAGUAAUCUAGUUCACAUCGCUAUGUGAUUAACACCCAAAGAGUACUAAGGUGUGAUCAUGUUUUGCUUGUGAGAGAAUCUUAGUCAACAGGUCUUUCACAUUCAGAGCCGUAUGUAUUUUGCAAAUAUUCUAUGUCCACAAUGCUCUGCAUGGAGCUACUCUAGCUAAUUGCUCCCACUUUCAAUAUGUAUCUAGAUUGAGACUUAGAGUCAUCUAGAUCAGUGUAAAAGUUUGCACCGAUGUAACUUUUACAACGAACUCUUUUAUCACCUCCAUAAUCGAGAAACAUCUCCUUAGUCCUUACUAAGGAUAUUCUUGACCGCUGUCCAGUGAUCUACUAUUAGAUCAAAAUUGUAUUCCCUUGCCAAAUUCAGAGCAAGGUAUACAAUAGGUCUGGUACAUAGCAUAGCAUACUUUAUAGAACCUAUGACUGAGGCAUAGGGAAUGACUUUUCAUUCUCUUUCUAUUUUCUGCUGUGGUCGGGAUUUGAGUCUUACCUUUGCAACACAUGCAAGAACUCUUUCUUUGACUGUUCCAUUUUGAACUAUUUCAAAAUCUUGCCAAGGUAUGUACUCAUUGAAAAUCUUAUCAAGCGUCUUGAUCUAUCUCAAUAGAUCUUGAUGCUCAAUAUGUAAGUAGCUUUUACUAAGGUCUUUUCUUUUUAAAGAACUCCUUUAAAACACUCCUUUAUGCUUUGCAGAAAAAUUCUACAUCAUUUCUGAUCAACAAUAUGUCACUCACAUAUACUAAUCAGAAAGGCUGUAGUGCUCCCACUCACUUUAUUGUAAAUACAGGCUUCAUCGUAAGUCCGUAUAAAACUAUAUGCAUUGAUCAACUUAUCAAAGCGUAUAUUACAACUCCGAGAUUCUUGCACCAGUCCAUAGUUGGAUCGUUGGAGCUUGCAUAUUUAGUUAACACCUUUAGGAUCGGCAAAACCUUCUGGUUGCAUCACAUACAACUCUUCUUUAAUAACUCCAUUAAGGAAUGCAGUUUUGUUUAUCCAUUUGCCAAAUUUCAUAAAAUGCGGCAAUUGCUAACACGAUUCGAACAGACUUAAGCAUAGAUACGAGUGAGAAACUAUCAUCGUAGUCAACACUUUGAACUUGUCGAAAACCUUUUGCGACAAUUCUAGCUUUGUAGAUAGUAACAAUACUAUCAGCGUCCGUCUUCCUCUUGAAGAUCCAUUUAUUUAACAUGGCUUGCUGAUCAUCGAGCAAGUCAAUCAAAGUACAUACUUUGUUCUCAUACAUGGAUCAUAUCUCAGAUUUUAUGGCCUCAAGCCAUUUCGCGGAAUCUGGGCUCAUCAUCGCUUCCUCAUAGUUCGUAGGUUCAUCAUGGUCUAGUUACAUGACUUCCAGAACAGGAUUACCGUACCACUCUGGAGUGGAUCUCACUCUAGUUUACCUACGAGAUUCGGUAGUAACUUGAUCUGAAGUUACAUGAUCAUCAUCAUUAGCUUCCUCACUAAUUGGUGUAGUAGUCACAGGAAUAGAUUUCUGUGAUGAACUACUUUCCAAUAAGGGAGAAGGUACAAUUACCUCAUCAAGUUCUACUUUCCUCCCACUCACUUCUUUCGAGAGAAACUCCAUCUCUAGAAAGGAUCCAUUUAUUAGCAACGAAUGUUUUGCCUUCGGAUCUGUGAUAGAAGGUGUACCCAAUAAUUUACUUUGGGUAUUCUAUGAAGACGCACUUCUCCGAUUUGGGUUUGAGCUUAUAAGGAUGAAACUUUUUCACAUAAGCAUCGCAACCCCAAUCUUUAAGAAACGACAACUUUGGUUUCUUGCUAAACCACAGUUCAUAUAGUGACGUCUCAACGGAUUUAGAUGGUGCCCUAUUUGACGUGAAUGCAGCUGUCUCUAAUGCAUGAUCCCAAAACGAUAUUGGUAAAUCGGUAAGAAACAUCAUAGAUUGUACUAUAUCCAAUAAAGUACGGUUAUGACGUUUGGACACACCAUAACGUUGUGGUGUUCCAGGUGGCGUGAGCUAUGAAACUAUUUCACAUUGUUUUAAUUGAAGACCAAACUCGUAACUCAAAUAUUCAUCUCCAUGAUCAGAUCGCAGAAACUUUAUUUUCUUGUUACGAUGAUUUUCCACUUCACUCUGAAAUUCUUUGAACCUUUCAACUAUUUCAGACUUAUGUUUCAUCAAGUGGAUAUACCCAUAUCUGCUCAAAUCAUCUGUGAAGGUCAGAAAAUAACGAUACUUGCCACGAGGCGUCAUACUCAUUGGUCUGCAUACAUCAGUAUCUAUUAUUUUCAAUAAGUCAGUAGCUCGUUCCAUUGUUCCGAAGAACGGAGUUUUAGUCAUCUUGCCCAAAAGGCACGGUUCGCAAGCAUCAAAUGAUUCAUAAUCAAGUGAUUUCGAAAAUCCAUCUUUAUGGAGUUUCUUCAUGCGCUUUACACCGAUAUGACCUAAACGGCAGUGCCACAAAUAAGUUGCACUAUCAUUAUUAACUUUGCAUCUUUUGGCUUCAAUAUUACGAAUAUGUGUAUCACACGAUCGAGAUCCAACAAACCAUUUUCAUUGGGUGUAUGACCAUAGAAGGUUUUAUUCAUGUAAACAGAACAACAAUUAUUCUCUAACUUACAUGAAUAACCGUAUUGCAAUAAACAUGAUCAAAUCAUAUUCAUGCUCAACGCAAACACCAAAUAACAAUUAUUUAGGUUUAACACUAAUCCCGAAAGUAUAGGGAGUGUGCGAUGAUGAUCAUAUCAAUCUCGGAACUAUUUCCAACACACAUCGUCACUUCACCCUUUAACUAGUCUCUGUUUAUUCUGCAACUCCCGUUUCGAGUUACUAAUCUUAGCAACUGAACUAGUAUCAAAUACUGAGGGGUUGCUAUAAACACUAGUAAAGUACACAUCAAUAACAUGCAUAUCAAAUAUACUUAUGUUCACUUUGCCAUCCUUCUUAUCCGCCAAUCACUUGGGGUAGUACCUUUUCCAGUGACCAGUCUCUUUGCAGUAGAAGCACUUAGUCUCAGGCUUAGGACCAGACUUGGGUUUCUUCACUUGAGCAGCAACUUGCUUGCCGUUCUUCUUGAAGUUCCCCUUCUUUUCCCUUUGCCUUUUUCUUGAAACUAGUGAUCUUGUUAACCAUCAACACUUGAUGCUCUUUUCUUGAUUUCUACCUUCGCCGGUCUCAACAUCGCGAAGAGCUCAGGAAUAACUUUCGUCAUCCCUUGCAUAUUAUAGUUCAUCACGAAGUUCUAUUAACUUAGUGAUGGUGACUAGAGAAUUCUGUCAAUCACUAUCUUAUCUGGAAGAUUAACUCCCACUUGAUUCAAGCGAUUGAAGUACCCAGACAAUCUGAGCACAUGCUCACUAGUUGAGCGAUUCUCCUCCAUCUUUUAGCUAUAGAAUUUGUUGGAGACUUCAUAUCUCUCAACUCGGGUAUUUGCUUGAAAUAUUAACUUCAACUCCUGGAACAUCUUAUAUGGUCCAUGACGUUCAAAAACGUCUUUGAAGUCCCGAUUCUAAGCCGUUAAGCAUGGUGCACUAAACUAUCAAGUAGUCAUCAUAUUGAGCUUAGCUAAACGUUCAUAACGUCUGCAUCUGCUCCUGCAAUAGGUCUGUCACCUAGCGCUGCAUUAAGGACAUAAUUCUUCUAUGCAGCAAUGAGGAUAAACCUCAGUUCACGGAUCCAAUCGGCAUCAUUGCUACUAACAUUUUCAACACAAUUUUCUCUAGGAACAUAUCAAAAUAAACAUAUGAAAGCAACAAUGCAAGCUAUUGAUCUACAACAUAAUUUGCAAAAUACUACCAGGACUAAGUUCAUGAUAAAUUUAAGUUCAAUUAAUCAUAUUACUUAAGAACUCCCACUUAGACAGACAUCUCUCUAGUCAUCUAAGUGAUCACGUGAUCCAAAUCAACUAAACCAUAACCGAUCAUCAUGUGAGGUGGAGUAGUUUUCAAUGGUGAACAUCAUUAUGUUGAUCAUAUCUACUAUAUGAUUCAUGCUCGACCUUUCGGUCUCCGUGUUCCGAGGCCAUAUCUGCAUAUGCUAGGCUCGUCAAGUUUAACCUGAGUAUUCCGCGUGUGCAAAACUGGCUUGCACCCGUUGUAGAUGGACGUAGAGCUUAUCACACCCGAUCAUCACGUGGUGUCUCGGCACGACGAACUUUGGCAACGGUGCAUACUCAGGGAUAACACUUCUUGAUAAUUAGUGAGAGAUCAUCUUAAAAUGCUACCGUCAAUCAAAGCAAGAAUAAGAUGUAUAAUAGAUAAACAUCAUAUGCAAUCAAAAUAUGUGACAUGAUAUGGCCAUGAUCAUCUUGCGCCUUUGAUCUCCAUCUCCAAAGUACUGUCAUGAUCUCUAUCGUCACUGGCACGACACCAUGAUCUUCAUCAUCUUGAUCUAUAUCAAUGUGUCAUCACAUGGUUGUCUCGCCAACUAUUGCUCUUGCAACUAUUGCUAUCACAUAGCGAUAAAGUAAAGCAAUUAUUUGGCACUUGCAUCUUAUGCAACAAAGAGACAACCAUAGAGCUUCUGCCAGUCGCCGAUAACUUCAACAAAACAUGAUCAUCUCAUACAACAACUUAUAUCUCAUCACGUCUUGACCAUAUCACAUCACAACAUGCCCUGCAAAAACAAGUUAGACGUCCUCUACUUUGUUGUUGCAAGUUUUACGUGGCUGCUACGGGCUUAAGCAAGAACCAAUCUCACCUAUGCAUCAAAACCACAACGAUAGUUUGUCAAAUAGACUCCGUUUUAACCUUCGCAAGGACCGGGCGUAGCCACACUCGGUUCAACUAAAGUUGGAGAAACUAACACCUGCCAGCCACUUGUGUGCAAAGCACGUCGGUAGAACCAGUCUCGCGUAAGCGUACGCGUAAUGUCGGCCCGGGCCGCUUCAUCCAACAAUACCGCCGAACCAAAGUAUGACAUGCUGGUAGGCAGUAUGACUUAUAUCGUCCAUAACUCACUUGUGUUCUAGUCGUGCAUAUAACAUCAACGCAUAAAACCUAGGCUCGGAUGCCACUGUUGGGGAACGUAGUAAUUUCAAAAAUUUCCUACGCACACGCAAGAUCAUGGUGAUGGCAUAGCAACGAGAGGGGAGAGUGUAUGUCCACGUACCCUCGUAGACCGUAAGCGGAAGCGUUAGCACAACGCGGUUGAUGUAGUCGUACGUCUUCACUAUCCGACCGAUCCAAGCACCGAACGUACGGGGCCUCCGAGUUCAGCACACGUUCAGCUCGAUGACGUCCCUUGAACUCCGAUCCAGCCGAGUGUCGAGGGAGAGUUCCGUCAGCACGACGGCGUGGUGACGAUCUUGAUGUUCUACCGGCACAGGGCUUCGCCUAAGCUUCGCGACGAUAUGACCGAGGUGGAAUAUGGUGGAAGGGGGCACCGCACACGGCUAAGGAACGAUCCGUAGAUCAACUUGUGUGUUCAUGGGGUGCCCCCUGCCCCCGUAUAUAAAGAAGGGAGGGAGGAGGAGGCCGGCCCUAUGAGGGGCGCGCCAUGGGGAGUCCUACUCCCACCGGGAGUAGGAUUCCCCCUUUCCUAGUCCAACUAGGGGUCCUUCCAGGUAGUAGGAGUAGGAGACUAGGAAGGGGAAGAGAGAAGGAAAGGAAGGAGGGGGUGUGGCCCCUCCCCCUAGUCCAAUUCGGACUAGGCCUUGGGGGGGCGCGCGGCCUGCCCUAGGCAGCCCCUCUCUCUUUCCCGCAGGGCCCAAUAAGGCCCAAUACUUCUCCCCAGCGAAUUCCCGUAACUCUUUGCUACUCCGAAAAAUACCCGAAUCACUCGGAACAUUUCCGAACUCCGAAUAUAGUCGUCCAAUAUAUCGAUCUUUACGUCUCGACCAUUUCGAGACUCCUCGUCAUGUCCCCGAUCUCAUCCGGGACUCCGAACUCCUUCGGUACAUCAAAACUCAUAAACUCAAAAUAUAACUGUCAUCGAAACCUUAAGCGUGCGGACCCUACGGGUUCGAGAACUAUGUAGACAUGACCUAGAACUAUUCUUGGUCAAUAACCAAUAGCGGGACCUGGAUGCCCAUAUUGGCUCCUACAUAUUCUACGAAGAUCUUUAUCGGUCAAACCGCAUAACAACAUACGUUGUUCCCUUUGUCAUCGGUAUGUUACUUGCCCGAGAUUCGAUCGUCGGUAUCCAAUACCUAGUUCAAUCUCGUCACCGGCAAGUCUUUUUACUCGUUCUGUAAUGCAUCAUCCCGUAACCAACUCAUUGGUCACAUUGCUUGCAAGGCUUAUAAUGAUGUGCAUUACCGAGAGGGCCCAGAGAUACCUCUCCGACAAUCGGAGUGACAAAACCUAAUCUCGAAUUAUGCCAACCCAACAUGUACCUUCGGAAACACCUGUAGAGCACCUUUAUAAUCACCCAGUUACGUUGUGAUGUUUGGUAGCACACAAAGUGUUCCUCCGGUAAACGGGAGUUGCAUAAUCUCAUAGUCAUAGGAACAUGUAUAAGUCAUGAAGAAAGCAAUAGCAACAUACUAAACGAUCGGUUGCUAAGCUAACGGAAUGGGUCAUGUCAAUCAGAUCAUUCAACUAAUGAUGUGAUCUUGUUAAUCAAAUAACAACUCUUUGUUCAUGGUUAGGAAACAUAACCAUCUUUGAUUAACGAGCUAGUCAAGUAGAGGCAUACUAGUGACACUCUGUUUGUCUAUAUAUUCACACAUGUAUUAUGUUUCCGGUUAAUACAAUUCUAGCAUGAAUAAUAAACAUUUAUCAUGAUAUAAGGAAAUAAAUAAUAACUUUAUUAUUGCCUCUAGGGCAUAUUUCCUUCACCUGUAACUAUGAGAAUUAGGCAACUCCCGUUUACCGGAGGAACACUUUGGGUACUACCAAACUUCACAACGUAACUGGGUGAUUAUAAAGGAGUACUACAGGUGUCUCCAAAGGUAUAUGUUGAGUUGGCGUAUUUCAAGAUUAGGUUUUGUCACUCCGAUUGUCGGAGAGGUAUCUCUGGGCCCUCUCGGUAAUACUCAUCACUUAAGCCUUGCAAGCAUUAUAACUAAUGAGUUAGUUAUGAGAUGACGUAUUACAGAACGAGUAAAGAGACUUGCCGGUAACGAGAUUGAACUAGGUAUUGGAUACCGACGAUCAAAUCUCGGGCAAGUAACAUACCGAUGACAAAGGGAACAACAUAUGUUGUUAUGCGGUUUGACCAAUAAAGAUCUUCGUAGAAUAUGUAGGAACCAAUAUGGGCAUCCAGGUCCCGCUAUUGGUUAUUGACCGAGAAUGGUUUUAGGUCAUGUCUACAUAGUUCUCGAACCCGUAGGGACCGCACGCUUAACGUUUCGAUGACAGUUUUAUUAUGAGUUUAUAAGUUUUGAUGUACCAAAGUUUGUUCGGAGUCCCGGAUGUGAUCACGGACAUGAGGAGGAGUCUCGAAAUGGUCGAGACAUAAAGAUUGAUAUAUUGGAAGCCUAUAUUUGGACAUCAGAAUGGUUCCGGGUGAAAUCGGGAUUUUACCGGAACACCGGGGGGUUACCGGAACCCUCCCGGGGGAUAUUGGGCCUUAGUGUGCCAAGAGGGAGAAGAGGUGGGCCGGCCAGGGCAGGCCGCGCGCCCCCUCCCCCCUAGUCCGAAUAGGACAAGGAAGGGGGGGGCGGCGCCCCCCCUUUCCUCUUUCCCCUCCCCCCUUUCCUUCUCCACCAAGGCAAGAGGGGGGAGUCCUACUCCCGGUGGGAGUAGGACUCCUCUAGGAGCACCCCUAGAGGGCUGGCCGCACCUCCCCCCUCCCUCCUUUAUAUACGGGGGCGGGGGGCACCCCAUAGACACACAAGUUGAUCUUCGUGAUUGUUCCUUAGCCGUGUGCGGUGCCCCCCUCCACCAUAUUCCACCUCGUUCAUAUCGUCGCGGAGUUUAGGCGAAGCCCUACGCCGGUAGAGCAUCAUCAUCGUCACCAUGCCGUCGUGCUGACGGAACUCAUCCCCGACACUUUGCUGGAUCGGAGUCCGGGGAUCGUCAUCGAGCUGAACGUGUGCUGAACUCGGAGGUGCCGUACGUUCGGUACUUGGAUCGGUCGGAUCGUGAAGACGUACGACUACAUCAACCGCGUUGUCAUAACGCUUCCGCUUACGGUCUACGAGGGUACGUGGACAAUACUCUCCCCUCUCGUUGCUAUGCCAUCACCAUGAUCUUGCGUGUGUGUAGGAAUUUUUUUGAAAUUACUACGUUCUCCAACAAGCCUGGCUCUGGGUUCUGCAUAUGUCGCUAAGUCCAUCUUCGACAGUGAAGACAAUGGCCUCGUCACCAACACUGAUGCCAAGGAUGAGGAUGACUCUGCCCCCACCUACUUCUUCAUGGCACGUGGUGCCAAGGUAAACUCAUGUGAUGCUUACUUUCAAACAUCAAGUGAAGAUGACUUUGAAUGUGAAGCUAAACCUAGCUACAAAACACUUGCUAAAAUUGCAACUGAACAAUAGAAUGCCAUGGAACAUAUUCAAAAACUGUUAGACAAAAGCGAUGACCUGUUGGACACGCAAAUGACCCGAUCUCAGUCCUUAAUUGAAGACAUAAAAAAUCUUCAUGUUAAGUAUGAGGAACUUGAAAGUCGUCAUGAAUCGCUCUCAACCUCUCACGAAAAGCUUUCCUAUGAUUAUCUUCAAAAGAAGCAGAAACUUGAGAAAUUGAGAUCGGCUCAUGAAGAUCUUCAAAAGGAAAAAGAGUCACUCUACGCUCAACAGAUCAGUUCCGCUUAGGAAGGAUUUGAACCACCUUGUCUAAAAUGUAUUGAGCGUGAUAAUGUUGUCACUGUUGCUGAAUGUUCAACUGCUACUACGGUUGCAAUAUCUUCAACUACUGAUGUGGUAACUAACCCCUCAUCUGAGGAUACCACUCCUAUUGCUGAUGAGAAUGCCAGUUUGAAGUCAUUACUUGAGACAGGAAUGUACAAAAGUCUCAAAGGGCAUCAGACACUAUGUGAUGUCCUUAAAAAGCAGAUUUUGAACCGAAACCCUAGGAAAGAGGGUGUUGGGUUCGAGAGGAAAAUGAAUGUUGAUGGUUCUUACUGGAUGCCUAAGCAGUACCCCAAAACCACAUGGGUUUCUGCUAAGGGACCUUCAGUAGAUCCAUCUACCUUAUCUGGCUUCAUUAGCGCUAACCCAAUUAUCAUUGAUGAAUCCUUUAAUGCAAACUAUAAACUGUUCAGGAAUCAGAAUGGUGAAGUGUUUGCCAGGUAUAUUGGUACUAACUGCAAGAAUGGACCACCUUUUAAGAAGAUCUGGGUGCCAAAAAGGUGUCUCGAAAAUCUUCCUGUGAAUGUCGUUACGACACAAUAUGGGAAGAAGACAAACACCAGACCAAAGGCUUCGUAUGGUCCAAAAGCUUCAUACAAACAAAGGACUCACCUGAGUCACCCUAACGCCAAUGUUUUGCAGGGAUCAUACUCAGACCUUUGAAUAUGAGCGUGUUUCAUCAAACCUCUAUGUUCAUAAGACUAAGAACUUUUUUGCUUAUUGAUAUGAGUAUUAUUCUCCUCCUGCAAGGCUAUUUGCUAGGGCUUCAAAGCCAAAGUUCUCAGAUGUUGCACUUAGACUCAUUGCUUCUAAGCCACCCCUGAAAAUGUGGGUGGUUAAGAAUACUUAACUCUCUUUUGCAGGGAAAGGUCUCCAGCCGGAAAUCAAAGGCGUCUGAUGCUUAUGCUGGGGACGUUAAACAUCUUGUGGGGCGCAAGAUAAAAUGCCCAAAUGGUCUUCCUAUGUAUUUUAUUCCUGAUUCGCUUGCCAGUCAUCUAAGUUCUAACCUGGAUCUAAGCUUUGAUAAUCCGCUUGCUCGUCAAAUGUUUAUGCUUCACAAUACCCUUGGUGAAGCCUAUCCUCCUAACUGCAUUGUAGGCUAUGACACCUCAUGCUUCAGAAUGGAUUAUGGAUAGUGGCUGCACCAACCACAUGACUGGUGAUCGAAAUCUUCUGAUGGAUUCAACUCUUCGGCCGUCUGAUAAGAGUCAUAUCACAUUUGCUGACACUGGUAAAAGUAAGGUAUUGGGUCUUGGCAGAGUUGCAAUCUCAAAGGAUCAGAACAUGGAUAAAGUGAUGCUUGUUGAAUCCCUUGGUUUCAACUUAAUGUCUGUAUCAAUGCUAUGUGAUUUGAAUAUGAUUGUGAUAUUUGGAAAAUAUCGUUGCCAUGUCCUUAUGGAAUAUGACAAAUCUCUAGUUUUUGAAGGGUAUCGAAAAGAUGAUUUGUAUAUGGUAGACUUCUCAGCAGGACCACAGCUAGCCACAUGUCUUCUAGCAAAAGCUUCAGAGUGCUGGCUUUGGCAUCGGAGGCUAGGACAUGUGGGCAUGAGGAACUUGUACAGUCUCGCGAAGAAGAAGCAUGUCGUGGGCAUCAAAGGCAUCAAGUUAAAGAAAGAUCAUUUGUGUCGUGCCUGUGAAGCUGGGAAGAUGACUAGGGCCAAGCAUCCCUCGAAGACAAUGAUGACGACAUCUCAACCCUUCGAGCUGCUUCACAUGGACUUAUUCGGCCCUACUCAUUACUCUACUCUUACUACCACUUCUUGUCUCUAUGGCUUCGUUAUUGUUGAUGAUUACUCAAGAUAUACCUGGGUACAUAUAAUUCUCUAUAAGAAUGAAGUGCAGGAUGUCUUCAGACGCUUCGCCAAUCAUGCCAUGACGAACUACGGUGUUAAGAUCAAGCACAUCAGAAGUGACAAUGGCACAGAAUUCAAGAACACCGGCCUCGACACUUACCUUGAUACACUUGGCAUCACUCAUGAGUUUUCUGCUCCCUACACACCUCAGCAGAAUGGCAUCAUGGAGCGCAAGAACAGAACCCUCAUCGAGAUGGCCCGGAUAAUGCUAGAUGAGUACAAGACUCCAAGAAAGUUCUGGCCUGAAGCCAUUGACACUGCAUGCCACAUCAUCAACUGAGUUUAUCUUCACAAGCUUCUGAAAAUGACAUCAUAUGAGCUGCUCACUGAUAAGAAGCCAAAUGUCAGUUACUUUAGAGUAUUUGGUACUAGGUGUUGGAUCAAGGAUCCACAUCACACUUCAAAAUUUGCACCAAAAGCACAUGAAGGUUUUAUGCUUGGUUACAGAAAGGACUCACACUCCUACAGAGUCUUCAACCUCUUUCACUAUAAAGUGGUUAAAAAUGUGGAUGUGCGAUUCAAUGAGACUAACGGCUCGCAAAGAGAGCACCUCAGGCUGAAGAUGAACUCAUCAUUGCACCAAGUCAACUUGACGACAAUGCUCAGCCUGAAGUCAAUGCUGAAGCUGAAGACAAUGAUCUGCAAGGGAAAAUCUUCGUCCAGUACAUCCUUGUGUUGCAAAUGAAGUACAAAUUGAGAAGAUCAUAAACAGCAUCAAUGCACCUGGUCCACUCACUCGUAGAAGAGCAACACAACUAGCAAAUUUCUGUGGGCACUUUGCAUUUGUCUCAAUAUCUGAACCCAAGAAAGUUGAUGAAGCCUUCAUGGAACCUGAAUGGAUUCAAGCCAUGCAAGAAGAGCUUCAUCAGUUCGAGCUGAACAAUGUCUGGGAACUAGUCAAGCGUACUGAUCCUCGCAAGCAUAAUAUCAUUGGCACCAAAUAGAUCUAUCGCAAGAAACAAGAUGAACAUGGUCAAGUUGUCAGAAACAAGGGUCCUCUGGUUGCUCAAGGCUACACUUCACAUCCACGGCUACAACAGGGAUAUUAAAACUUGGGUCCUUGAGUGGAUGACAGGAAAUGUGCACCAUGAAGCCAAAGCUCUUGAUCUCAUUGAGCUUACUGGCCUGCCCACUCCAGGUGAACUAUAUGAACCUGGUUGUCAGCUUCACCGCAAUGCUUUAGAGAGCAUAUUCCAGAAGCCUGAGCCCAACAUGAGCCAAAUGCUGAGUAUGAUGAAGCCUCUGCCACAAGAUGCUGAAUAUCCUAAGGAAUUCUUUGUUGAAGACCUAGAGUAUCUGCCCCGCACCAUCUAUCACAUUAUCAGGCAAACUCUAUGGCCCAUCAAAGGACAUUCUUCUGCAGCAAAGCUUGAAGGCUCAAUAAAGACAUUGGUCUUCUAUAUUCUCAAUGGCAUCAGCUUCAAUGCUCAGGAUUUCUUCAUUCGCCAACUUGCUGCAUCUGGCUCAGAUAUAUUUGGUCUGAAGUUUUAUGCUCCAUGGGUAAUGCAUCUUAUCAAGCUUCACUCUGCUAUCAACUAUCAGCCCUCUGCGCGCAACCAUCUCAUAUUCUUGCCAGAGGUUGAUAUGUCUGUCGAAGCCAUAUACCCAGAGCUUGCCAAGGAGCCACUUUAUCUUCACAAUGUCGAUCGUCAAAGUUUCUCUCACCAUGUUGAAGGAGUUCAAGAUGCCACUCGUGUUUAUCCUUUGGCUGGAAAUACACGUGCACCUCAUUGUGCCCAUACUGAAGCCACUGAAAGAACUAUUGCUCAAAGGCAUCGAAAGAGAUCUCCCGUGCUCAAUGACCGAGAGCUUCUCGUGGCUUUGCAUCAGAAACAGGAUAAGCAUCAUUACUGGCUUAAGCGUCAAAUGCAGAGUCUCUUAAUGGAUGUUAAUCGCAUUCGCAAUCUAGCCACCAAAAAUGCAUUUGUCACUCAUGAAACCUAUCGGCGGUCGUGGAAGAGUCUGACAUUACUCGGUUCUGAAGAUGAUCUUCAGCAAGAUGGCUUCACAGAGAGAUUCAAAUUUGAUUCCACUCCUCCAGGGAAUGUUGUCUUGCGUCAGACUCCUUCACUCGAAGACUCUGAGUACUCCUCCUCAGCAGCAACUGUAAAUGCCAGAGUCAUCGAUAACGAAGAUGAUGCUACUUCACCAACUACCACUUCGGCGCGUAUGGACACAGCACCAGGACCCUCUGCACCACCAAACUCCAACGUCGACCGUGCUCCUCCAUCUGCUCCUUCUGGGAACUAGUAGAUUCUCUAUGUCUUCAAACCUUUUUGGUCAUUACUGACAAAAGGGGGAGAAGCAUAUGAGUUGAUAGUCUUCAAGUGUGUCCUUAUGGGUGGUUGCAUUACUUUUGCCAAGUCUUACAACUCUCGCCUUUUGAUACAUUUGGUUCUUUGAGUUGUAACACUUAAAACUUGAUGGCCGUCUACUACUUUUCCUUACAUAAGAAACAGGAGCAAUUACAUGAUGAUUACAAAGAAGAAAAGACAAAAAUGUCAGGGGGCGAGCAGCCACCAAAAACACAAAAUAAGAUCAGAGUAGUGUGUUUAACCAAGCUAACAAGGCUGAUUUAAUUUAUCAAAUGGUAAACCCUGUGGCUUAUGCAUUAAAUGUAGAUGUCUCUUGAAAAACACUUUCCAGCUGGGAAAGGAAGAAGCCCACAGCUGAAAAAUGAAGCCAUUUUUCUCCUUGCAAAUAUUCCACAAGACCAAGACGCAAACCUCCCAAAAACUAGGCCGGCUAUUACAUGACUUUAUCAGACAAUUGUACAUGAACCCUAUAGCUAGUCAUUUAGCGACACUCUGCUCAAACCGCUAUAACGGGGCUAGAGUCGGGUAAUACUGAUGAGCAUAGACAGUAUCAAAAAGACGUAAAAUCAAUCCAAAAAGAGAUGAUCCCUUGUUUCAGUAACGUUCUAAGAGCAAAUAGUACAAUUCAGCCUGGAAUCAAGGCACUGGUGUUUCUAUUCCAUUAAAUAUCUCGUGUUGAGCCGGUCCAACAAAAGUAACCAUGCAAUGUUCUAUUGUUGGAACUGUCAAACAUGUUACUAUGUUUCAAACCUCACCGUACUAUGCUAAAAAAAUAGCAAUUGCCUUCGUGAUUAUUGACGUAACUUUGGCAAGCAGAUGGCCAAAAUCGCGAAGCUAUGUAUACAGUACGACAAGAAGUUCCGGCCAAAAAUGAGUAUCGUCAUCAAGGAUCUGAGGUCGCUGCUGGUCAGUAGCUCAAGCAAUCCUGCCGGCGCAGUAGGAGAAGCUCCCACGGUUAAAUUUUACUACCGCCCGUUCCUAAAUAUAAGACGUUGGGCCAGUUUAAUUUACAUAAGGAGUGUGGGUGUUCCACACCCACGGACAUUGCACCCCCGCAACACCCACGAUCGAAAACUUAGCAAAACAAAUAAAAAACGAAACUUUGCAGAUCCGACUAUGAGCAAAUGUUUUACGUGCAUGCAAAAUUUUGUGGCCAAAUGACACCCGAGGAGCUUUGUAAAAAAAAAGUUUCUGCUCAAAUAUAAAAUUUGAAACGUGGGUGCAGAGAAACAGUUUAUAUUUCAUUUCAUAUGGAGAUCAUUCGAUGUUACUUGGUGACCAAACUUUGCAAGGUUCUAAAACAUCUGCUCAUAAUCAAUGCCACAAAGUUUCAGAUUAUUUUGAAUUUUUUUCUCUUUUUACUGUUCAUUGCGUGGUGCGCCAAACUUGGGUGCAGCCACUACUUUUCCUCACAUAAGAAACAGGAGCAAUUACAUGAUGAUUACAAAGAAGAAAAGACAAAAAGGUCAGGGGCCGAGCAACCACCAAAACCACAAAACAAGAUCAGAGUAGUGUGUUUAACCAAGCUAACAAGGCUGAUUUAAUUUAUCAAAAGGUAAACCCUCUGUCUUAUGCAUUAAAUGUAGAUGUCUCUUUAAAAACACUUUCCAGCUGGGAAAGGAAGAAGCCCACUGCUGAAAAAUGAAGCCAUUUUUCUCCUUCCAAAUAUUCCACAAGACCAAGACGCAAACCUCCCAAAAACUAGGCCGGUUAUUGCAUGACUUUAUCAGACAAUUGUACAUGAACCCUAUAGCUAGUCAUUUAGCGACACUCUGCUCAAACUUCUAUAACGGGGCAAGAGCCGGGUAAAUUCUGACGAGCAUAGACAGUAUCAAAAAGAAGUAAAAACAAUCCAAAAAGAGACGAUCCCUUGUUUCAGUAACGUUCUAAGAGCAAAUAGUACAAUUCGGCCUGGAAUCAAGGCACCGGUGCUUCUAUUCCGUUAAAUAUCUCGUGUUGAGCCGGUGCAACAAAAGUAACCAUGCAAAGUUCUUUUGUUGGAACUGUCAAACAUGUUACUAUGUUUCUAACCUCACCGUACUAUGCUAAAAAAUAGCAAUUGCCUUGGUGAUUAUUGGGGUAACUUUGGCAAGCAGAUGGCCAAAAUCACGAAGCUAUGUAUACAGUACGGAAAGAAGUUCCGGCCAAAAAUGAGCAUCAUCGUCAAGGAUCUGAGGUCGUUGCUGGUCAAUAGCUCAAGCAAUCCUACCGACACAGUAGGAGAAGCUCCCACGGUUAAAUUUUACUAUCGCCCGUUCCUAAAUAUAAGACGUUGGGCCAGUUUAAUUUGCAUAAGGAGUGUGGCUGUUCCGCACCCACGGACAUUGCACCCCCGCAACACCCACGAUCGAAAACCUAGCAAAACAAAUCAAAAAAAUGAAACUUUGCAGAUCCGACUAUGAGCAAAUUUUUUAGGUGCUUGCAAAAUUUUGUGGCCAAAUGACACCCGAGGAGCUUUGUACAAAAAAAAGUUUCUGCUCAAAUAUAAAAUUUGAAACGUGGGUGCAGAGAAAGAGUUUAUAUUUCAGUUCAUAUGGAGAUCAUUCGAUGUUACUUGGUGACCAAACCUUGCAAGGUUCUAAAACAUCUGCUCAUAAUCAAUGCCACAAAGUUUCAGAUUAUUUUGAAUUUUAUUUCUAUUUUUACUGUUCAUUGCGUGGUGCGCCAAACUUGGGUGCAGCCACUACUUUUCCUUACAUAAGAAACAGGAGCAAUCACAUGAUGAUUACAAAGAAGAAAAGACAAAAAGGUCAGGGGGCGAGCAGCCACAAAAACCACAAAACAAGAUCAGAGUAGUGAGUUUAACCAAGCUAACAAGGCUGAUUUAAUUUAUCAAAAGGUAAACCCCCUGGCUUAUGCAUUAAAUGUAGACGUCUCUUGAAAAACACUUUCCAGCUGGGAAAGGAAGAAGCCCACUACUGAAAAAUGAAGCCAUUUUUCUCCUUGCACAUAUUCCAUAAGACCAAGACCCAAACCUCCCAAAAACUAGGCCGGCUAUUGCAUGACUUUAUCAAACAAUUGUACAUGAACCCUAUAGCUAGUCAUUUAGCGACACUCUGCUCAAACCGCUAUAACAGGGCUAGAGCCGCGUAAAUUCUGAUGAGCAUAGACAGUAUCAAAAAGAAGUAAAAACAAUCCGAAAAGAGAUGAUCCCUUGUUUCAGUAACGUUCUAAGAGGAAAUAGUACAAUUCGGCCUGGAAUCAAGGCACUGGUGUUUCUAUUCCGUUAAAUAUCUCGUGUUGAGCCAGUCCAACAAAAGUAACCAUGCAAAGUUCUUUUGUUGGAACUGUCAAACAUGUUACUAUGUUUCUAACCUCACCGUACUAUGCUAAACAAAUAGCAAUUGCCUUGGUGAUUAUUGACAUAACUUUGGCAAGCAGAUGGCCAAAAUCGCGAAGCUAUGUAUACAGUACAGAAAGAUGUUCCGGCCAAAAAUGAGCAUCAUCGUCAAGGAUCUGAGGUCGUUGCCGGUCAGUAGCUCAAGCAAUCCUGCCGGCGCAGUAGGAGAAGCUCCCAUGGUUAAGUUUUACUACCACUCAUUCCUAAAUAUAAGACGUUGGGCCAGUUUAAUUUACAUAAGGAGUGUGGGUGUUCCACACCCACGGACAUUGCACCCCCGCAACACCCACGAUCGAAAACUUAGCAAAACAAAUCAAAAAAAAUGAAACUUUGCAGAUCUGACUAUGAUCAAAUGUUUUAGGUGCUUGCAAAAUAUUGUGGCCAAAUGACACCCGAGGAGCUUUGUACAAAAAAAAGUUUCUGCUCAAAUAUAAAAUUUGAAACGUGGGUGCAAAGAAAGAGUUUAUAUUUCAGUUCAUAUGGAGAUCAUUCGAUGUUACUUGGUGACGAAACUUUGCAAGGUUCUAAAACAUCUGCUCAUAAUCAAUGCCACAAAGUUUCAGAUUAUUUUGAAUUUUAUUUCUAUUUUUACUGUUCACUGCGUGGUGUGCCAAACUUGGGUGCAGCCACUACUUUUCCUUACAUAAGAAACAGGAGCAAUCACAUGAUGAUUACAAAGAAGAAAAGACAAAAAGGUCAGGGGGCGAGAAGCCAACAAAACCACAAAACAAGAUCAGAGUAGUGUGUUUAACCAAGCUAACAAGGCUGAUUUAAUUUAUCAAAAGGUAAACCCUGUGGCUUAUGCAUUAAAUGUAGACGUCUCUUGAAAAACACUUUCCAGCUGGGAAAGGAAGAAGCCCACUACUGAAAAAUGAAGGCAUUUUUCUCCUUGCAAAUAUUCCACAAGGCCAAGACGCAAACCUCCCAAAAACUAGGCCGGCUAUUGCAUGACUUUAUCAGACAAUUGUACAUGAACCCUAUAGCUAGUCAUUUAGCGACACUCUGCUCAAACCGCUAUAACGGGGCUAGAGCUGGGUAAAUUCUGACGAGCAUAGACAGUAUCAAAAAGAAGUAAAAACAAUCCAAAAAGAGAUGAUCCCUUGUUUCAGUAACGUUCUAAGAACAAAUAGUACAAUUCGGCCUGGAAUCAAGGCACUGGUGUUUCUAUUCCGUUAAAUAUCUCGUGUUGAGCCGGUGCAACAAAAGUAACCAUGCAAAGUUCUUUUGUUGGAACUGUCAAACAUGUUACUAUGUUUCUAACCUCAGCGUACUAUGCUAAAAAAAUAGCAAUUGCCUUGGUGAUUAUUGACGUAACUUUGGCAAGCAGAUGGCCAAAAUCGCGAAGCUAUGUAUACAGUACGGAAAGAAGUUCCGGCCAAAAAUGAGCAUCGUCGUCAAGGAUCUGAGGUCGUUGCUGGUCAGUAGCUCAAGCAAUCCUGCCGGCGCUGCUGAAGCAUCUGGAGUGUGAAGAAUUGUUUGUCUAGUAGAAGUGAGAUAGCAUAUGUUGUGAUUUCUGAAUUUUUAUUUUUAGAAAACAGGAGUCUAGCCUGGUUCCAUUUUCGAUUGAAAUGAAAGCAGACGUUGACAUCACAACUAAAAAGAACAGCCUCAGAUCACCUGGCUAGUGGCAAACAGACACUGAGUAAGCACAUGAAGGAUCCUUUUCAAUGUGAUUUUUCUUAUAUUACCAUAGUGCAAUAGGGAGCAGCUCGGAAGUGUGAGUUCUCUGUUGACGUUGGCCAAAUUUCCAAUGUUUCAUGAUUGCUGGAUUAUUUGAGCCUUUACGCACCAUCCUUAGUUAUUAUGGGUUCCAGCUGAAGUUUCCAAUUUUCAGUCUCUGGUUUAAAUAGGUUUUCACAGCGAAGUAGGUAGAGUUCGGCCGUCGCUUGGUUGCUGUCCAGAUGAUCCAGCACGGAGGCGAGGCUGCGCGAGGCUGCUUCUAUGGAAUUUGGACGCAGCACCGUCAGAGGAGAAGUGGAGUACGUCGCCGGCGACGCAGAGGGUUGAUGCCCUGUUCCGCCGAUACCCCGGCCACACUUUGAGCCAGAGGAACACAGCCACCACGGCUGAGGUUCCUUCAACCUUGGCAGCGAUACCUUAUAGGUGCGCCUCAGCACUGUGCCAUGUCGUGCACUGGACGUCCCUAUUGGGCAGCUUUUUGGUUUCUUUCUCAGUUUCCUAUAUUUUUUAUUUUUGUCUUUUUUCUUCUGUUUUAGUUUUUCCCCAGGUUUUGUCUGUCAGGAGCGUGGGUGUGUUGGGCCUCCGUGUAAACUGUGAGGCACAUGUGUACUUUCGGGUGGAGCACAACUGUGCUUUACCCCGUGGGAGUACAAGUUAUUUGCACUUCCAAGUACAGUUAGUACAAUUUGGAAGCACGUGUUAGCUCACAUUUGAAGCAUGAUUUUUGCCUGAAACAAUUCAUUGAAAUAUGUCAAUAUGAAAUCUAGUUUUAAAAUCUCGACACCAAAUACGCAAUGAUAAAAAGGUUCAUGAUUUGGAUGCCCGGUUCAAAAGAUAUAUUAUUUUAGAAAAUGGAUAUAUGAAAAAAAACACAAACAAAACCACACACUACUAGAAUGCGACAAGUGGUGCAUACAUAAGCGAGGCACAUACCAUGCGUCAUUUUUCACCACCAGGGAAGAUUGGAGUGACAUUUGCAAGGAAUAUCCCUAAGAACAAAACACUUAGUAUUUUCCCACUUUAAAGUCCAUCGAGCCCUAAAUAGAGGUAAAAAGAUUUCAUCAUCUUUUUAAUUAAAAAAAGAAAAGAAUUGCUCAAUUAGUUGCAAAACUCGGGCGAAAACAGCUGCAACUACCCCCAUAGGGACGCCACCCAUCGACGUGGCUAUCGACGCAAAUCCGACACAUGCAGCCGAUGCAAGGACUGCAAAUGUCCAAAUUAAGGUGAGCUACUAAGCUUAAACGUCAAUCCCAUAAACCGCUCUGCUGCACUAGUUAACUAAGAUCAACAGAAUUCUCCGGGCAACAUACGAAAGCUGAGACUAACUCUACACCCAAAAUCCAUACGACCAAAUUAGCAAGAUAUACAGUUGCAGAAGGUCUAACUAAAGUAGCCACCAAUUCCGGUAGGUCUACAAACAAUUAAGUUGGAAACAAUACCUGACAGUAGCAUUUCCUUUGAGUGCAGCGAUUCGGUGCCCAGACUCAUCUGCUCCUGGCCAGAAAAAAAAUUCACAAAAAAAUACUAGAAAAAUUCAAAAAAUUCCAAAUUUUUUCUCAUGGUAGAAAAUUUAUUGCGAGAGGUUCAAUCCAAAUUCUAGCUCAUUUGGGCAUCUGAGUAGCUCUCAGCAAAAAAGACAAAUCCUGUCAAAAUAGUACAUGAACAGUAAACUAUUUUACAAACCCUGAAUUUGUCGUUUUUGCCGAGAGUCGCUCAUUUGUCCAAAUGAUUUGAAAAUUAGAGCGGGCCUCACGCAUCAAAUUAUCUACCAUGGGGAAGAACAUUGGAAUUUUUUGAAUUUUUCUAGUAUUUGUUUUGAUUUUUUUAUUCAACACGGGUGCAGAUGAGCCCUGGCUCAGAAAAGGAUUUCCGAUUUCCUUCAGCCUAUUCUUAUCAGAGAGCGAAUUCGUGUCCGAAAAAGAUGUCAGUUAAGUUAAGAGGAAAGUUUGCUUUUAGUCCCUCGUGUUUACCAAAAGUCUACAUAGGAUCCCUGAAAUAAAUUGGGGCAACACUUAGUCCCUCAUGUGUCAAAACCGGGUAAAUUUGAUCUAAACCAGAAGGAAAACGCUUGCGUUCGGCGCGCCAGCCGAACGCUUUGGCCGGUCGUCUUCUCGCACGCGCAUUCAUCUCUCUUAUUCUUUAUUUCAAAAAAGCAUCGCAGCUCAUUCAUGGCUACUGCAGCCUUCGCCCACCGCCUCGCUGAGCGCCUCCGGGCAGAUCCACGCUGUUCCUCCAAGCCGGCUUGCAUCCCCUGUCGGAUCUCGUCCGCAGGCCGUCAUGGAGUCGCCGGCCUCCCCUUCCCAUCGGCAUGGGGGCGAUCCCUUUUUGCCUUUUCCCGUUUCCUCACUUGUUUCUCCUCCGGCGAGCAGGCCGCCGCCUCCCACGCCACCUCCUCAACAAAUCCCCCACGCCCUCGCAUCUGAUGCCACCGGUGUUGGAGACGAAAAGCCAUGACCAGAGACGGUGAUGUUGCAACCGGCGACGAGAAAAGCUACUACCGGCGAUGAGAAAACCUACGACUGGCGACUAAAAAAGCUACAACUAGAGACGACGACGUUGCAACCGGCGACGAGAAAAGCUACGACCGGCGACGAGAAAGUGGGUCGGCCGCUGCGCAACAUUAAAAGCUGCAACCGACGAUCGAUAAUGUUACAACCGGCAUUAUCGAAAGCUUCAACCGGAGACGACGGGAAUCGAGGACCGCCCACCAUCACUAGUAGAAAAGGGGACAAUGGUCUAGGCCGGUCCAGCCCAUUAGUCCCGGUUCAAUCCAGAACCGGGACCAAUGGAUGCAUUGGACCCGAUUCGUGAGCACCGGGGGCCGGCCGGGCGACGUGGGCCAUUGGUCCCGGUUCGUCUGGAUCUAUUGGUCCCGGUUGGUGGGACGAACCGGGACCAAUGGGCCUCGCUCCUGGCCCAACACCAAUGGUCCCGGUUGGUGGCUUGAACCGGGACCAAAGGCUGCCCUUUAGUCCCGGUUCAUGCCACCAACCGGGACUAAAGGGUUGGUCCUCGUUGCGGCCAGAUUUUAGUCCCACCUCGCCAACCGAAGGGGAAUCAGACCGGUUUAUAAGCCCCUCCCUCUCUGCCUUAUUGUCCUCCUCUAAAAAUGAAAAUAGAUGCCCUUAUAUAGGGAAUUUAGCCUAAAUUCAUACGGAUUUCUCUUGAAAUUCGUUAUGAAUUUAAGUUGAAUUUCUUCUAUAAGCGCAUCUAUGCUCAUUUCUGAGUAGUUUUUUAUAUAGUUUUUUUUUCUGCUAUAUUUAUUUUUUUGUUUUUAUUUCUGAGUUGUACUAAGUCAUUAAAAAUAAGCAUCUAUGCUCAUUUUUUAGUAAAGUUAAUCAUAACUAUUUUUUCUUUUAUUUAUUUUUGAAUUGUAAUAAGUCACUAAAAAUAAGCAUCUAUGCCCAUUUUUUAGUAAAGUUAAUCACAACUAUUUUUUUGUUUUUAUUUCUUAGUUGUAAUAAGUCAUUAAAAAUAAGCAUCUAUGCUUCUUNNNNNNNNNNNNNNNNNNNNNNNNNNNNNNNNNNNNNNNNNNNNNNNNNNNNNNNNNNNNNNNNNNNNNNNNNNNNNNNNNNNNNNNNNNNNNNNNNNNNNNNNNNNNNNNNNNNNNNNNNNNNNNNNNNNNNNNNNNNNNNNNNNNNNNNNNNNNNNNNNNNNNNNNNNNNNNNNNNNNNNNNNNNNNNNNNNNNNNNNNNNNNNNNNNNNNNNNNNNNNNNNNNNNNNNNNNNNNNNNNNNNAUGCUUCUUUUUUAGUACAGUUAAUCACAACUAUUUUUUCUUCUAUUCAUUUCUGAGUAGUUUUUUAUAUAGUUUUUUUUUCAUUUCUGCUAUAUUAUUUUUUCUUUUUAUUUCUGAAUUGUAAUAAGCCAUUAAAAAUAAGCAUAUAUGCUCCUUUUUUAGUACAGUUAAUCACAACUAUUUUUUGCUUCUAUUCAUUUCUGAGUAGUUUUCUAUAUAGUUUUUUUCUUUUCUGCUAUAUUUAUUUUUUUCUUUUUAUUUCUGAGUUGUAAUAAGUCAUUAAAAAUAAAAAAGAGGCGCAAUGCUCGUUAAUUUGCUUCAAGCCUUUCGGAAUAGUGUCAACUGCACUGCACAUAGCUCUGUGCAGUCUACCGUAUUCCUCAAGGCUUGAAGCUAACCAACGUGCUGGAGCAUUGAGCCUCUUCGUCAUCGUCUCUGCACUCAGGGCUUAUAAACAGCUGCGAGUGCCUCUCGCUUGGCGAGGUGGGACUAAAAAAACAGCUGCUGGAAGAAUCAACAAAAAAACAGCUGCAGAAAAUAAAAAAGGAGUUAGACGGGUCCAUUGGUACCGGUUCAUGGUACCAACCGGUACCAAUGCCCCUCAUUGGUCCCAGUUCAGGGCACCAACCGGGACGAAUGCCGCUCUUUAGUCCCGGUUGGAGCCUCCAACCUGGACCAAAGGUCUUCGUUUCCCGCCCUUUGGGCUGCUGAAAGGAGGCCUUUGGUCUCGGUUGGUGGCACCAACCGGGACUAAAGGUGGCAUUAGUCCCGGUUGGUGCCACCAACCCCGACCAAUGCUAUUGCUAUAUAUACAGGACUUGGCAGUUUUCGCCAAAACCCAUCUCUUUCCUCUCGUCGGCGUCGCCGCCGAGCCCUGCCCCGACGCCCUGCUCUCGUCGUUGUCGCCACCCCCGCCGUCGCCCCUGCCCCGCGCCGCCCCGAGCCCACCGUCCCCGUCGCCGCCCCGAGCCCGCCGUCCUCGUCGCCCCUACCCCGCACCGCCCCGAGNNNNNNNNNNNNNNNNNNNNNNNNNNNNNNNNNNNNNNNNNNNNNNNNNNNNNNNNNNNNNNNNNNNNNNNNNNNNNNNNNNNNNNNNNNNNNNNNNNNNNNNNNNNNNNNNNNNNNNNNNNNNNNNNNNNNNNNNNNNNNNNNNNNNNNNNNNNNNNNNNNNNNNNNNNNNNNNNNNNNNNNNNNNNNNNNNNNNNNNNNNNNNNNNNNNNNNNNNNNNNNNNNNNNNNNNNNNNNNNNNNNNNNNNNNNNNNNNNNNNNNNNNNNNNNNNNNNNNNNNNNNNNNNNNNNNNNNNNNNNNNNNNNNNNNNNNNNNNNNNNNNNNNNNNNNNNNNNNNNNNNNNNNNNNNNNNNNNNNNNNNNNNNNNNNNNNNNNNNNNNNNNNNNNNNNNNNNNNNNNNNNNNNNNNNNNNNNNNNNNNNNNNNNNNNNNNNNNNNNNNNNNNNNNNNNNNNNNNNNNNNNNNNNNNNNNNNNNNNNNNNNNNNNNNNNNNNNNNNNNNNNNNNNNNNNNNNNNNNNNNNNNNNNNNNNNNNNNNNNNNNNNNNNNNNNNNNNNNNNNNNNNNNNNNNNNNNNNNNNNNNNNNNNNNNNNNNNNNNNNNNNNNNNAGAUUUUUUUGGUGAUAUUAUUAUUGAAUAUGCAUGUUUGGUGAUAUUAUUGUUAAUAGAAUUUUUUUGGUGAUAUUUAGAUUGUGUAAUUAAUUUUGUUCAUAGAAUUUUAAUGAUUUUUUUUGUUCAUAGUAUUUAGAAAAAGGAAAAAAAUAAGAAGUAGUUUAUAUAUAGUUGAACUAGCUAGUUGAUUUAAUAAACUAAUUUAUUUUACUAUAUAUAGAAGUAGUUUGUUUUUAGUAAGUACUACUUAUUUAUUUGUAGUAAGUUCUUAGUAGUUGAACUAGAUAGUUGAUUUAAUUAAUAAAACUACUUUUAUUUAACUAUAUAUAGAAUUAGUUCCCGCGUCGACGUCGGCGAUGCCUAUCCCGCAUCCUCGUCGUCGUCGACUCGGCAGUGGAGGCCUGCUUGAUCAGGGCCAUGUUCGGGACUGGGCUCCGCCGGGCUGGUAUUGGGAGGUGCUACCUUCCAAGGGACGUAAGUUGGUGAGGAGGCAGCCCGUUGUUGACCCGAUCCUUGUUUGGUGGCGGUCGCGUGGGCCAGUGACGGUGGUGAGGCAUCCGGACACCACGGAGGUGGUACGUCACCGUGUCAGCGAGGAGGACGAGCACGUCCGUCGCUACAUGGUUGCAUUGGAGGGGAGGUUCGACAAUACCUGGCAGGUUCUUCAGGGAUCUCACUGGAGCUAUGAUCCUGUGAUGGUUCCUUAUCUUUGGGUGUCCACUGCCCGCGUCGAUACCCGUCGGGCGCUACGGUUCUAGUUGUAUUAGUGAUAAUAUUCGACGAUGUAUGGACACCAAGAGAUGAUGUACUUUUGCUUAUAAUUAUUGAAUGCAUGCUAAUUUGAAUACUAUACUUUAUUUUAUGAUUUGGUUUUGCUUAUUUUAUGAUUUGGUUUUGCUUAUUGAAUGCUCAUAUUGGAUAAGUUCUCCUUCAUUCCCGUGUGCUAGACAAUUUGGUAUAAUAAUGCAUUCGGGAAUGAAAGAGGAGCCACGUAUACGUACAUCGAUCAUCGAUAGUCAACCCGUGAUUAAUAAUAAUGAUCUAGUUUAAUAUUUGAAUUAUGAACGUAGGACGGAAAUGUCGUACUCAUCGGACGACGAAAACCGUCCGGGGGAGUGUGACUGGUGCCACGAUGACCGAGGUAUCUGCAACAGGUUCUUUGAGUUGGACGAAGAUCGACGCUUCAGCAUUAAGCUCGAGGAGACUUGCGAUGUUCAUACGGUAUGCAACGACGACAAUAGUUUUUUUCGUAAUUAAGCAUGACUUCAACUAUUUUAACGUGUAUUUUUCAUCUUUUCCAAUUGGACUAGCUUAUCCCAUGCUUUGCAAGACGUUAUGUCUUGGAGAGGAUGGGUUCUCAAGACCAUGAAUGUUUCGAAACCAAAAAAAUUAUCCUAAGUAUCCAUCAUGGUGUGGAUUUUCAAGUAAAGCUGUACAAUGCUCAGAGUGUAACCCAUUUUGGUUGCAAAAGUUGGGAAGCACUUUGCAAGAUGUAUUAUCUUGAUGAGGGUAUGCUUGUCACCAUGGAUCUUGGUGAUCCUACAAUCGAGCAAGAGAGAACUUCUAUUUGGGUCCUUGUGGAUACACCUCCAAUUUUUCCCUCAUGUGAGCUAAACAUAGUUAUUAAGUAAUUUAUAUUGUUUGUUUCAAAAUAUAUAGUUGACAACUUAUCUCCAUUGACAGCUUAUUUUCAUUCUUCAAAGAAUCUGCGGAAGAUGGUAGACAGAACGUACUACACCGAAGGCUCCGAAUUAACUUAUCAGAAGAAAAAUCAUCUUGUCGGAUUUUGUACUGAUCUUGAGAAUUACAAUAUCUACAAUCAAACUUCUCAACAUUAUGGUCAAUACGUGCCACUAGUGCACGUGUUGAACUACGGUAACUACCAUGGAGAUACCCUGGUAAAAUUAUUUUUUACUAUUACAACAUCCGUGCAUCUUUUUGCACACUUCUAAAACUCGUAUAUACAUCAUUGCUAACUACGAAGUUAUUACUAUGUUUUUCAACAGAUAAUCCAGAAUGAUUGUGUGCCUCAUCUGAUGUAUACGCAUGGUGGCCUUCAUGUUUUGAACAUACAACCAGGUCGUCCUACGAAUCUCAACUGUCCAUACCGGGUUUCUAAAAGAAGUGGGGACAUAACAAUCAAAGAAUGGAAAAAAUGUAUGGACAGUCAGGGUCUAUAUUGUUUUAUGCUAUUUCUUGGACGCAAUAAGCAGCGAAGGGCAAGAAUUGGAGACAGGAUAAUCGCCAUUCUUCAUAAUGGAGAGUCAGGGUCUAUAUUGUUUUAUGCUAUUUUACCUUAAGGGUGUUUAGGUCCUACCUGAUACUGAUGAUCAUGUGCUAAGAACAAUUAUGUAGGGUUGGGUUCGAUGACUAUGAGGAUGAUGAUCGUAUGACUUAUUAUUAAUAACGAGUAGAAGUUGUAUGAUGAUGCAUGAUUAGUAGGACUUGUUAUUAUAUAUAUAUACAUGAUGCAUGAGCAUGUUAUAUCUGCGGGUGCAAUCACUAGUAGAAAAAGGGUCAAACGUGCAGCACAUUAGUGCCGGUUUGUAUUAGAGCCGGCACUAAUGUAUACAUUAGUGCCGGUUCCAAUGGCUAGCCGGGCCGCUCUCAUUAGUACCGGUUCGUGGCUAACCUUUAGCACCGGUUCGUGCCACGAACCGGUACUAAUGAAGGUGGUGGCAGGAUGUUGUCAGUUUGGGCCCCCUCCAGCACCUUUAGUACCGGUUCGUGCCACGAACCGGUACUAUAGGUCCUCCUGCAUAUAAACCCUUCGUCCAGCUUGCUUUGUUCUUCCCCCUUUCCCCUCUCCUCUCCUCUCUGUUCUUCCUCUUCCCCUCGAGCUCACCACAAAUUUUGCCCAAAAUUUGUCAAGAUUUGAAGGCCCCCAUCCAUUCAAAUGAUCACAAAGGUUAGCAACUUUGUCCUUCCAUCUCUCAUUGCUAGAUUAGCUCUUGCAAUGCUUUAUAUAGUUACUAAUUUGUGAGUUUAGUAAUUUGGGAGGAAAUAUAUAUAUAUAUGCUAGUAUUUGAUUUAUAUGCAAUUUGAGGUCAAAAAUAACACUUAGUUUGCAUAUGUAGGUGUGGUUUACUUAGUGCCUUCUAAAUCUCCGUCGUAACCACCGUCGAUCGCCCGCACCGUCCUGUCACCGGCACCACCUUGUGGUGAGCCUCUUGUUCAUGUAAUUUUAUAUAAAAAAUUGAUGUUUGUGUGAUUUGGAUAUAUAGUUAAUCAUGUAAUAAUUAUCUUACCCGUACGUUGUUUGUUAUACAUAGUGCCAUGGUUUUGAUAUCCGUCCCCGUCGGCCCUCGUCCUUGUUAUGAUUCGGAUGUGGUAUAUUUUCUUUUAAAACUAUUAGUUGCAUUUCGUGUUUAUGACAAAUUAUGCCCAUCAAGUUGACAUAGAUAUUUUUAUCUAGGAGGUAUGUGAACCGGAAAUUCCAACCGACCCUAUUGUCGAGAGGUUAAAUUUAGUUGAAAGAGAAAACGAGUACUUGAAAGAAAAAUUGAAAAGAAUUGUGGGGGAGAAGAUGGAAUUGGAGUUGCAUGUUGCCGAUGUCGUCGAUGAUCACAAGAUCAAGAUGGAGAAAAUGCGCUUGAAGAAUAGAAAGAUUAGAAAAUAUGCCAUCGAUAGUGAGGCUUGGUAUCAUUAUGCUGUUGGAUCAAUUGUUACCUUAGUUGCGAUCUUGAUCGCAUUUGUUGUUGCAUUUAAAUGCUUUAGCUAGAGAGUUAUUUGUUUGUUGCAUUUAAGUGUUGUAUGAACUUUAUGUAUGAACUUGUAUUAAUUUGGUCUAUUCGGUGUUGUGUAAUGAAGAUGAGCCGGCAAUGGAUGUACGAUGACCGAUGCUCACCCCGGUUCGUUGAGGGGGUGCAUACUUUUCUGCUUGCGGCUGAGGCAAACAAGAGGGCGGAUGGUUUUAUGCCUUGUCCAUGUGGUGUCUGUAAAGAGAAACUGCGCAAGUGAUUUGGAGAAGAAGAAGUUGCAGCGCAUGUUAGAGGAUCACAAAAAAUUGUUGUACCCGAAUUGCGUAGGUGACAAGAAAAAGCUGGGCACCACACUGGAAUUGCUGCAAUGGAAGGCAGAGAAUGGUGUAUUUGACAAGGGAUUUGGAAAGUUGCUGGUAAUGAUAAAGGAUAUGCUUCCAAAGGACAACGAAUUGCCCGAGAGUACGUACGAAGCAAAGAAGGCUGUCUGCCCUCUAGGGUUAGAGGUGCAAAAGAUACAUGCAUGCCCUAAUGAUUGCAUCCUGUACUGCGGUGAGUACGAGGAUUUGAACGCUUGCCCGGUAUGUGGUGCAUUGCGCUAUAAGAUCAGCCGCGAUGAGCCUGGUGAUGUCGAGGGCGAGUGCCCCAGGAAGAAGAUCCCUGCCAAGGUGAUGUGGUAUUCUCCUAUAAUACCAUGGUUGAAACAUUUGUUCCAAAACAAAGAGCAUGCCAAGGCGAUGAGAUGGCACAGAGAAGACCGUAAGAAAGACGGAAAGUUGAGAGUACCCGAUGAGCACAUGGGGGAAGAAUUUGACCUCAAGGCGUUGCUGUUCGUGACCAUCAAUGAUUGGCCUGCUCUCAAUAACCUUUCAGGACAGACAAACAAGGGAUACCGCGAAUGCACGCACUGUUUGGAUGAUACCGACAGUAUAUAUUUGAAUAGUUGUAAGAAGAAUGUGUACCUGGGACAUCGUCGAUUUCUUCCGAGCAGGCAUCCCGUAAGAAAGAAAGGCAAGCAUUUCAAAGGUGAGGCGGAUCACCGGACGAAGCCCCGCCAUCGUACUGGUGCUGAUGUACAUGAUAUGGUCAAGGAUUUGAAGGUGAUAUUUGGAAAGGGUCCUGGCGGACAACCUGUUCCGAAGGACGCGGACGGACGCGCACCCAUGUGGAAGAAGAAAUCUAUAUUUUGGGACCUGCCAUAUUGGAAAGACCUAGAGGUCCGCUCCGCAAUCGAUGUGAUGCACGUCACGAAGAAUAUUUGCGUGACCCUGCUUGGCUUCUUGGGCGUGUAUGGGAAGACAAAAGAUACACCUGAGGCACGGGAGGACCAGCAACGUAUGCACGGAGAAGACGGCAUACAUCAGGGUCAUGCAAGCUACGCUCUUACCAAAGAAGAGAAGGAAAUCUUCUUUGAAUGCCUGCUCAGUAUUAAGGUACCGUCUGGCUUCUCGUCGAAUAUAAAGGGAAUAAUAAACAUGGCAGAGAAAAAGUUCCAGAACCUAAAGUCUCAUGACUGCCACGUGAUUAUGACGCAACUGCUUCCGGUUGCAUUGAGGGGUGAGGGAGUCCUGGACUAGGGGGUGUCCGGACAGCCGGACUAUCAAUAUCCGCCGGACUCCCAGACUACGAAGAUAGAAGAUUGAAGACUCCGGCUCGUGUCCGGAAGGUACUUUCCUUGGCGUGGAAGGCAAGCUUGGCGAUACGGAUAUGUAGAUCUCCUACCAUUGUAACCGACUCUGUGUAACCCUAGCCUCUCCGGUGUCUAUAUAAACCGGAGGGCCUUAGUCCAUAGGACGAACAUUACAUCUCAACAAUCAUACCAUAGGCUAGCUUCUAGGGUUUAGCCUCCUUGAUCUCGUGGUAGAUCUACUCUUGUACUACCCAUAUCAUCAAUAUUAAUCAAGCAGGAUGUAGGGUUUUACCUCCAUCGAGAGGGCCUGAACCUGGGUAAAAACAUUGUGUCCCUCGUCUCCUGUUACCAUCCACCUAGACGCACAGUUUGGGACCCCCUACCCGAGAUCCGCCGGUUUUGACACCGACAUUGGUGCUUUCAAUGAGAGUUCCUCUGUGUCGUCACCGAUAGGCUCGAUGGCAUCUUCAACCAUCAACACUGUCCAGGGUGAGACUUUUCUCCCCGGACAGAUCUUCAUAUUCGGCGGCUUUGCACUACGGGCCAAUUCUCUUGGCCAUCUAGAGUAGAUCGAAAGCUACGCCCCUGGCCGUCAGGUCAGAUUUGGAAGUUUGAACUUCACGGCCGAUGACCGCGGAGAUUUGAUCUUCGACGGACUCGAGCCACAGCCAAGCGCGCCGCACUGUGACGAUGGGCAUGAUCUAGCUCUGCCGCCGGACAGUGCUUUGGAGGCCGCACUCGAACCCGUUCCGGCUACUAGCCCGGAGCCGGUUGCCCAUGACGGGGGCCGGUGGAUAGACGCCGCCCUGGGGGCUUCAACAUCUAUGGCGAUGGAGCCGAAUACCAAUCUCGUCCCCUGCGAAACUCAUGAUCCCGAGACGCCGGACUCCUCGCCGGACUCUGAGCCUCCCGCGCCCCUGCCAAUUAAACCGGAUUGGGCGCCGGUUAUGGAAUUCACCGCCGCGGACAUCUUUCAGCACUCGCCUUUCGGCGAUAUCCUGAAUUCUCUGAAGCAUCUCUCGCUAUCAGGAGAAUCCUGGCCGGAUUAUGGCCAGGACGGUUGGAGUUCAGACGACGAAGAAAUUCAGAGCCCACCCACCACCCAUUUUGUAGCCACUGUCGAAGAUCUAACCGACAUGCUAGACUACGACUCCGAUGACAUGGAUGCUAUGGACGAUGAUGCCGGAGACGAACAGGACCCAGCACCCAUGGGGCACUGGAAGGCCACCUCGUCAUAUGACGUCUACAUGGUGGAUACCCCAAAAGAAGGGGAUGGCGAAAAAGCAGCGGAGGAAGAUUCUCUAAAGAAACAGCCUAAACGCCGACGUCAGCGGCACCGCUCUAAAACCCGCCACAACAAGAAUGAAGAUUCCGGCACAGGAAAUAACAAUACCCCAGAGAGUGCCGAAGACAAACCCCUCCAGCAAAACUCAGCGCAGGAGGAUGCAGAAGCAAGCCCUCACGAAGGGGCGGCAGAAGAAAAGGUUGAGGAUCACAACUAUAUACCUCCCUCCGAAGACGAAACAAACCCCAAUAACGACGAACUCGAGGAGCCCGUCGAACAAGAGCUUUUCAAACGCAGGAUCAUCGCUACAGCAAGAAGCCUGAAGAAGGAAAAACGGAACCUCAACACAGCGGAAGACGCGCUCCGAAUAAGAUGGAGCAAAAUACUCAAGACUGCAGAUAAACACGGCAACGGCCACCAAUCGAAGAGCUACCCAAAGCGCAAGCUGCUCCCAGAGUUCGACGAGGAGGCCAUAAAGCCCCCACCGUCCAACGGCCCAGCCAGGUCCAUCUACGGACCCAAAAAGACAGCCCCAAUAAGCAAAGGAACACGUCAAGUAUCCGAUGAUAGCGGCACGUACAAGUACAGGGGCGCCGCACACCCAUUAUGCUUCACCGACGAGGUGCUGGAUCAUGAAUUCCCAGCAGGGUUUAAACCCAUAAACAUAGAAGCUUACGAUGGAACAACAGACCCUCGAGUCUGGAUAGAAGACUGCAUACUGCAUAUACAUAUGGCCAGAGGAGAUGAUCUCCACGCCAUAAAAUAUCUACCCCUCAAGCUUAAAGGGCCAGCCCGUCAUUGGCUCAAAAGCCUCCCAGAAAAUACUGUUGGAAGUUGGGAAGAGCUCGAGGAAGCGUUUAGAGCAAAUUUUCAAGGGACUUAUGUCCGGCCUCCGGAUGCAGAUGACCUAAGUCACAUAACUCAACAGCCCGAAGAGUCAGCGCGGAAAUUCUGGAACAGGUUCCUUACCAAAAAGAACCAAAUAGUCGACUGUCCGGACGCCGAAGCCUUAGUAGCUUUUAAGCACAAUGUCCGAGACGAAUGGCUCGCCAGACACCUCGGUCAAGAGAAACCGAGGACAAUGACCGCAUUAACAAGCCUCAUGAACCGCUUCUGUGCAGGAGAGGAUAGCUGGCUGGCAAGAUGCAGCACCAGCGACCCAAGUACAUCCGAGAUAAGAGAUGGAAAUGGAACAUCACGGCGCAGAAAAGAGCAGCGCCGGAAUAAAGAGAAAAGCCCAAAGAGCACGGCAGUCAACGCCGGAUUUAAAAGCUCACGACCAAUAGUAAAACUCAGCCCCUCAAGGACGACAGCGACGAAUUGUCUAACCUACACAAAAUUUUGGGUCGGAUAUGUCAAAUCCACAGUACCCCCGGAAGGCCCGCAAAUCACACCCACAGGGAUUGUUGGGUUUUCAAACAGUCCGGCCAAUUAAACGCCGAACACAAGGGGCUCGACGCGUCAAGCGAAGAAGAUAAACCCCACCAGCAGGGCACCGGAAAACAAAAGACUUUCCCACAAGGGGUCAAAGCAGUAAACUCACUUCAUGUGAGGACACGGAAAAACAGUGCGGCACUUCCUAAAAAGAGCUUCGCACGGUCUAGCCCAGCAAACCAUGGAGAUUGGAUAUCAAAACCAAUCACUUUCGACCACCUGGAUUAUUCCAGAAGUGUUCAAAACGCGGGACGGACUCCCCUGAUAUUGAAUCUGGUAAUAGACGGACUACAACUCACAAACGUCCUAAUGGACGGAGGCAGUGACUUAAACCUGCUAUACUCAAACACAAUCCGUCGGAUGGGGAUAGACCCUACCAGAAUUCGACACAGCCGCACUUCCUUCAAAGGAGUUACGCCAGGCCCUUACGCCAAGUGCACAGGCUCGAUAUUACUAGAAGUCGUGUUCGGUUUGCCGAACAACUUUCGACGCGAAAAGUUAAUUUUCCAUAUCGUCCCAUUCAAAAGUGAAUAUCAAGCACUAUUGGGACGAAAGGCUUUUGUCCGCUUCAACUCCAUACCAUAUUACGCGUCUCUUACACUUAAGAUGUCCGGUCCACAUGGCGCCAUUUCAGUGCGCGGGUCAUUUAAAGACCCCGGACUCGGAUAGACGAAUCCGGACUCAGCAGGCUAGGGGCUCCCUAGCCGCAUACCCUCUCACAAGGGGCUGCGCGCACAACUAACCGCGGUUUCAUAUAAACCUAGCUUUAAUCAUUUACACUUAUUAUUUUGCAUAUUUUUCGCACGAACUGUUUCUAAAACUAAAGUGUUCUUCUCUUUCUACAGAUGAACAACGUGCGUACCCGUCCAGGAUAACGGCGCAACGGAGACACAGGCGCAAACGUGCAGUAGGGACCCGUCGCAAGGAUUCUUUUCAGAUUAAGACCCUACGUAGACCUUUUUAUUACUGUCUCUUGUUGUUAAAUCUCCCUCGGCUUCUCCCUAUAGCCAAAGCGGAGCCUGACGCUUUGGCAUCGGCCGCGUCAGAAGACAAAUGCCCGUACCUGGACACAAGGGGCUUAGGGCAUAAUUCUGCCUGUUAUCAUAAAGUCCGAACACCUUCGGGAGUGUUCGGCGUCUCAAGUUAGGCAUUAUAUGCAUCAGCUCCGAAUCAUGUCUUUGGUCAAAUGUUGGGUUUGCCCGACUCCUGUGUUUUGCUGCCUUACGUUCCGUAUCACCUGGCUAACGCGGCACCAGGAGAACUACUGCGAUUGUGCCCCAGUUCGGCUGGGUGAGCACCUCAGUAGAGAAAGCCGAAAACUGACUGUCAUGAUAUAGCGAGAGUCUGGUCAGCCACUUGAUCGACUACCAGAAUGUUUAGAAUUCCCCGCCUUGACGAAGGACCGCUUCCCGGUCAGGCACAUACGCACCCCGAAUACGGAGAUGUGCGGUGUCAUUAGGGGCUAUAUCGUAGCCCCACCCUUGAGCUCCAUUGGCUAAGUGAAAGAAAUAAAGCACCAUAGUCCGGAUUGCCUCGUUCGCUACGCUACCACCUCCUUAUAACAGGACCGAGACGUCGGAUUAAGUGUGAAAAAGCGCUAUUUUGCGAACACCCCAGCACCUUGUGCAAGGGGGCUGAAGCCGAAGACUGCAUCUUUCAGGUUAUACACAAGUAUACGCAAACGGCCGCACGGGAGAAGUUUUUACUACUUGGAAGCACAAGUAUAAAAAGCAUUCAUACUAUAAUCAUUAAUUUACAAGGUAUUGCGUUCAUUUGAACGUUACAUUCUUUGAGCACUGCGCCUCUACUUUACGAGCACCGCGCAUGACUUCUCCGAAGUAGUGCUCGGCAGGGAGCCGGCUUCUAUCCGGACCCUGGGAAACAACGGCGGUGGUAUCCAUCUCCGGAUAAUGCACCUUCACACGAGCAAGGGCCAUCCGCGCCCCCUCGAUGCAGGCCGACCGCUUCAUCUCCCUUAUAUGCGGCACCGCACCAAGGAAUUGCUGCAAUAAGCCAAAGUAGCUCGUCGCCCUGGAUCUUUCUGGCCAGACAUGGGCCACGAUGUCAGUCAUGGCCAGUCCGGACAAUCUAUUCAGUUCGGCCCAUUCGGCCAACCUGUCCGUCAGAGGAAGGACGCGAUCCGGGCUGUGGAAUUGAGACCAAUACAACUCUUCCGCCUCGUGAUCCCCUUGGCUCUGGAAGUGUUUAACGGCAUAAGCCGCACUCACAGCCAAAUCCAAGUACGGAUCCUCCGAAUUCCACUGCCGCUCAAAUUGAGCGUACUUGGCAUCCAUAAAACGGCGACGCGUGAGAAACGGCUUGCCAGCCACGAUUUCUCCGGCUUGGCGCAGCUCCUCCUUCAUAGCCCGCAUUGCAGAACGGGCAUCCUUGGCUUCGGCGGCGGCCUUCUUCAGGUCUUCCCGCCCCGAUAGGCGCUCCUUUUCAAGAGCCUCGCUACGGUCGGUAGCAUCCUUUAAAUUCUUGGCCAAUUCGGCCACCUCCGCCCUGCUUAGGCAGUGCGCAACCUUUUCGGCUUUCAACUCUUCGGCCGCCCUCACAGCAGCCGCAUCACUCCUUCGGGCUUGCUCCUUAGCUUGUGCAAGCUCGGCCCGAAGGAUCUCCAUAGCAGCAGCACUGUCUGUAUAAACAGCAUAUAACUUAUCAGAAGAGGGCUUUAACCCACUCAAUAAAGCGGCUGCGGAGAAUUUAUUUACCUUGCGACUCGUCAAGUCGCUGAUUGACAAGGGCGAUAUCAGCAUCUGCCAUGUCCAGUUGUCGACUCAGUUCAGCAAACUGAUUAGUCCGGCUGGCCCCCGGACUAUGCGCCACCUGUAUCAGAACGGCGGUAUUCAUUACCUGAGUUGUUUAGAUUUUCGAUCCUCGGCACGCUGUCAUCUUCGACAACCUACCGAGUCUCAGGGGCUACUAUCUAUACAGGGCGCAUUUUUUAUAUGCACAAACUGUUAGAACAACAAAGGGGUGCGCUAUUUUCGUAUACCUCAAAUCCCGCCAGCAAGCUCAUGGCGGCGUCACGCAAUCCGCUUUCAGCGGACGAAAUCCUUCCCAUCACCAUACGCAUUAACGCACGGUGGUCUUCUGAAAUGGACGCCCUCUCAAGCAAACUCUUCAGUUCUCCCGGCCGGACUCUGGUGGGUGUUGAACUCUUUGGCCCCUCCGGACUCGGGAACGCCCUCCGCGACGACACUUCGGGCUCGCCUGCCUCAUCUGGCGGCGCGGCAGACGGAGGCGUAUCGCUCUCCAUCAUCUCCGGAAGAAGAUCCCCCGAUGAACUCAUCUGAGACGGCUGCAGAUCCGAACUGCGAUAUAAAUAUUUCGGUUACCUACAGAAGCAUAAACGAAGGUAUUCCCUUAUCUCCCCCAUUCAUACUCACGGCUCGUUGGAGGGCUGGCCCUUCGGCGAUGAUUGCGCGUCAGGAUUCUCUCCGGACGCCAGACCCCCCGGUGAGGAUUUCUUCCCACGCUUAGGGGAUUUAACCUCCGGAUCUCCGGAGGUGGUCCUCUUCUCCCUCCGAAGGGAGGGGUCCUUGGUUCCCUCCUCUUCGGCCGCCCCUUCGGGCGAAGUAUUAGCUCCUUUAUCUCCCCCGUCGCCCCCCUCUAUGGGCGCAACCUCCAACAUUCUGACCAGCACGGGCUCCAGUGCGGUCUCUGGGAGGGGGGCCGGACACCUUAUCAACCUUGAUUGUGCCACCCAUUCCUGUAAAGAAUAAAGGGUCAGGAGACGAUCUUUUGAAAGGCAUACAAAUAGAAUGUCCGGGCUUUGAGCUAUUUACUUGAGUAUCCGGGCGAUCGCGGCUUAGUCCCGCAUCCUCGGCCAAAUUCGGACACGCCACCUGCGGUCCGAAGAACAGCUCGUACAUCUCCGAGGGUGUCGCACCCAUGAAAUGCUGGAGGAUACGAGGUCCCUCCGGAUUGAAUUCCCAUAAACGAAGAGGACGACGUUUGCAGGGUAGGAGGUGCCUAGUUAGCAUGACCUGCAUCACCUUGACCAGGUCAAUCUCCCCUGUUUGGAGGUCUCGAAUCCGGCCCUGCAGUGCGGGCACGUCCUUGGACGGCCCCCAGUUGAGCCCUUGGUUGACCCACGACAUCAGCUGCCGUGGAGGUCCCGGGCGGAAAGAGGGCGGCGGCUUUUGCUUGCUGCCCCUAGGAACGGUGAUGUAAAACCACUCCUGCUGCCACAAUCUCUGUUCCUCUUGGAAGGAACCUUCGAGCCACGGGGCGUCGACCUUCCUGCUUAUGGUCGCCCCGCCACACUCCGCUUGGCGCCCCCCGAUCAUCUUCGGCUCCACCUUAAAUGUUUUCAGCCACAGGCCGAAGUGGGGGAUGACGCGGAGGAAGGCUUCGCAGACAAUGAUUAAUGCGGAGAUAUGGAGGAUGGACUCCGGAGCCAAGUCGUGGAAGUCCAGCCCGUAGUAUAACAGGAGCCCCCUCACGAAAGGAUCCGUCGGGAAGCCUAAUCCCCGACGGGGGUGAGAUGCGAAAACGACGUAUUCGCCGGGCUCGGGGGCUGGCACGGCCUGCCCUGGGACAGGCAACCUGUGCGAAACUUCGUAGGCCAGGUACUUGGCCUCACGCAACUUCAAUAUGUCCUCCUCCGUGACAGAGGAGGGCAUCCACCGGCCCUGGAGGUCGGAGCCGGACAUUGUUGUGGAUCCGAAGCGCUCGAAUCUGAAGCUCUAGGUGUUGGAACUGGGAGCAGAGGAAAGAUUCGAUGCGAGGUUGAAAGACAAGGACAGGCCUUGGUCCUCUUAUAAAGGGGGAAGAAAUACCAAGGGCCGUCUCCGUGACCGUUUGGGAUUCCCCUUCGAUAGAGGAGGCGUGGCGACGGGAACGGUUGGGUUACCCACGCACGUAUUGAUGA
RNAcentral lists this long non-coding RNA (69961 nucleotides) under Triticum aestivum (bread wheat). RNAcentral's name for it is "long non-coding RNA (TAES_LNC011116)". The record is from RNAcentral. Lineage: Eukaryota; Viridiplantae; Streptophyta; Magnoliopsida; Poales; Poaceae.